Molecule: long non-coding RNA, 44422 nt
Filed under: Triticum aestivum (bread wheat)
Lineage: Eukaryota; Viridiplantae; Streptophyta; Magnoliopsida; Poales; Poaceae
Description: long non-coding RNA (TAES_LNC007808)
Source: RNAcentral
UCCUUCGCCUGCUGCUAGUCCCUUUCCCCACUCCUCUGCUGCUCCUCCUCUUAAAACUGCUGCUGCUCUUCUUUCCCACGUUCCUGCUCUGCACUCUGCUUCUCACCUCCGUUGCUGCUGUUUCUCUUCUGAACCUCUGCUACUGUUCAGCUCUGAACCUCUGCAUCUGUGUUGAAUGUGCUUUCAGUGUUCUUGAGAUGUGUAAACUGUUCAAUAUUCAGCUUACAAUUUGUAAAACUUUUGUGAUUCAGUGGUGUCUCUAUGUUAUACAUAUAGCUUGUGUACUGCUUGCUGCAGUAAAUUUCAGUUUGUAAGUUCCUGUGAUAGCUCCAGUACAUGUGACUUUUAUGUUGUCUCAAGUUCCUGUUAUAUAUAUACAUAUGUGUGUGUCUGUGAUGUGAUACAUUUAUGUUCUGUCCUACAACCUUAUUGUGUUAGCAUUUUAUUUCUCAUGUAAAACGAAAAUACCAAAAAUAUUAUUGAAGAUAAUCUGAACCUCCUUUGACCUUUUUGCAUUUUCUUUGGUGACGAUCUUUGGGUACAACCUUGUUUAGUGUAGGUUUUUUUUCUUGCAUUCAUAAUCUGAAUUGUGUUACCUAGCUUUAGCCAAGCACCGUCAUCGAUUUGCCUAGUCCCUGAUGAGAACACGACACUCGUAGUUUGGGGCGUAAAAACCCAGCUAUAUUACAAUUGAUCAUUUUGGCGCCGUUGCCGGGGACUAGCGUCGAGCGAUUGUGCGAAGCUAUAGACUAGGCUUAGUAUAGUUUUUGUUUAAAUUUCCAGUCAAAUUUAUUUCUGUGCUUCUUUUACCUUUUUACUUUUUGUUGCUUCGGCUUAUUAGGAUACUAACCCUCUCACCAAUGUUUCAUGUUUGUGAGCGUGUGUAGGAUAUCUUAUUAUUUGUAGGCUGAUUGACAGUUGCACCUGAACAUAUGGCUUUAGUACAUGAUCUUUGGUUGCCAAGUAGUUUGGACACGAUGACAGGGCCAAUUUGGCCAUCUAUUGAGGCCAAAAUUUUUGAGUUGAGGCCUGGACUUAUUGCUCUCGUCUUGCAGAAUCAGUUUAGAGGAUUACCCAAUGAAGACCCUCAUGAGCACAUUAGUAAUGUUCUGGAGUAUGCCAAUACAGUCCAGUAUCAUGGCGUUUCCCAAGAUACUAUCAAGUGUAUGUUGUUCACAUUCUCUCUCAGAGAUGCUGCUAAGGACUGGUACUAUUCUUUGCCAUCAAGAUCAUACACUUGGGGUGAUAUUUCACAAGCUUUCCUGCAUAGAUAUUUUCCACUUUACAAGCAAGCUGCAAUUCGUGACCAGAUCCUCAGUUUUGCGCAAGAUGGUAGUGAGAGCUUGUAUGCAGCUUGGGAGAGAUAUAAGUAUUUGCUUAGAAAAUGUCCUAAUCAUGGGCAAAAGGAUUGGUUAGUGCUUCAGAUAUUCUAUAGAGGGCUGACACAUGCUUCAAGAGAUCUUAUUGAUAUGUCAGCUGGUGGAACAAUCAUGAACAAGACCGUCGAGGGUGCAAUUAUUCUCAUUGAGAGCAUUGCCUUCCACCAAAUGCAAUGGGGUUAUGAAAGGCCUAGUUCAAAUCCGAAGGUUGCAAGCCUCGUGCAAUCAGAAGUUGUGUGUUCCAUAAGUGAACAGAAAUCAUCCAUGGUGCCUAAUAUUCAAAACCAGCAUGUUUCAUUCCGGGGACAACAACAUUUCAGAACUGAAUUAGAUCCUCCAUAUAGAACGAUUGAUCUUACUUCAAUUAUCCUUGAUGAUGAUUAUGAUAUUUUUCAAGAUGAUGAAACUACUGUAGAUCAGAUGGAAACCACAGUAGCAGAUCCAAUACCUCAUGGCAAUGAAACUGUCCAGAAUGAGUCAAAGCUGAAAGAAGAUGUUUAUGAGGAACCUACUCUGAUUGAUGCUAAGUUGAGACAACAAGAUAUGGAGAAAUUCACUUGUGUUAGUCAACUAUGUGACUGGUGGAAUUUAGUCGUGUCACCAAUUGCCCACACUUGUGUUACAACGGUAUCUGGGCUAUUUGUCAAGAAGAAAUCAUUAGCUCCACCGGUGGUUGCCUCUAUCACAGUUAAAGAGAGUAUCUCAGAGAAGAAUAGUGAAGAUGAGAUUCCAACUCCUGCACAUACAACUAAGCAAGUCGGAGCCAUUCCAAGGAGAGAGAUACAAGAGGUUGAGUCAAAUUUAGAAGAGUUGAUACUUCAAUAUCCUGAGAAGAUCCCACGUGUUGCUGAGCUGCAUGACUGGUGGAAGUCAUCAGUGUCACUGUUGAGACUUAGUAGUGAUGGUGAUGAGGAGAACAUUGCUCAGAAAGACAGCGAGGUAGUGAUCUCAACACCCCUACCAGAUCAUGUUAGUGAAUAUUCACAUAUGGGGACACUUCAGACUCAAUUAAGUGUUGCUGGUAGUAGCACCAUAGAAGAUCCAGAGGAAGAGAGUCCUCAACUUGAAGAAGAUUUACAAGAAGACAAGGAACAAGAUGAUCAAGAGCUGCAAUUUCCAAGUGAUCAAGUUGAAGACUCAUCAUCUACUACUCCUGAAGAAGUACAAGAAGCUGUUGUAGAUGAAGAUGAAGAACCUGAGAUUCAUUGGCCUAUUGUCAUACAUGAGCGCGAUGUGUCAGGUUUACCCAAUCCUCUUGAUGACAUGCUCCCUUGUGAUUUCUUUGCUUCUAACUUGCAUUGCAUGAUGCCAUCACUUAAGGUAGAUUUGAAAAACUAUUUGCUUGGACAUGAUCAUACACACCCUGUUAGUGGCAUUACUCUCAUUUGUGAUGAUCACAGUUACUUUCCUCGUGCUAGUUCUAUGCUUAAUGAAACAUAUCAUUCCCAUGUUAGUCUUGAGCUUAAUGAUAAAUAUCAUCCUCAUGUUAGCAUUGAGCUUACUGAUUUGUACCAUCCUAAACAUGUGCUUUAUAGCUAUGCUUAUGUAAUUGGGUACUCUAUAGAUGAUUUAGAGGGCAUUACCCUUGUCACUUGUAUUGUUUCCUUGGUUGAGUGCUCUUUCAGGUUGUUGCUUGUGCACGAUCCACUACAUGCUGACCAAGUCCGAGAUGACAUUCCCUGGGACCCCGGUGGACCCAUGGCAUGGGGAUGAGGAGAAGCAAGGAGCACACAUGAAGAGAGAAGCUGGAGCAGGCAUGAGGAUAGAGAAGCAAAAAGAGAAGAGCUGCAGCUUAGAGAGUCAUCAAGCGAGUGCUACUUCAUAGUGCCCGGUUAGCUGUUUCAUGACCCAUUCUGAGUAUAUCAUCCAUUGAUGCUUGCUGAAUUAAAUUGCUAUUUGGGUUGCUUGUGCCAUUUCUUAAAUGUUGUCCCACUGAAUUUCACCUUUGACAUGUGGUGCUUGAUGAGAAUAUGCGAACUAAUUGUUGAAUGCCUUGUAACUAGUGAUCUACACCCUGUUUGCUCUGCUAAAAGUAGUGAAAGCUAUUAGUUCUGAGUGCUCAAAUCCCUAGUACACUAGAAAACUAAAUCAUUUUCUGCAUUUACUAUGAUACACCUAGAUCACCAUGUUUAGAUGCUGAAUUUGUGCCAAGUGUGUUCCCAUUGAGAGCAAUCACCUAACUACUAUGGAAUAUCAUGCUAUGUUCCCUGGAUCGGUAGCAUGUGAACCAGACAUGGAGAAGUGAUGAUUCCUAUUUUUGUGCUUAUGCAUUGUUCAUUUAAGAUAAGUAAUAAUGAAUAAAUUAGUCUGACUACCUACAGUAGCAUGUCAUGUUCUUGGGAUCGGUGGCAUGUGAAAUCGGGUUAGCUUGGGCAGUAAUUAUUAUAAAAAUGUAAUUGUCGAACCAGGUGUAUACCAUGUUCUCGGGAUCGGUGGUAUGUUCCUUUGGGGAGACAAACAAGAAAACUAUAUAAUUGGUCAAGCCGGGUGUAUACCAUGUUCUCGGGAUCGGUGGUAUGUUCCUUUGGUGAGAUCAAUAAAAUAUUAUCAUUACUUCCUUCAAAUUCAAUAAGUGGUUCAACCACAAAGUUAUAUUUCUGCAAAUAAGAGAUUUAAUUCCAGUUCUUUUUGUUCUCGGGAUCAUGCUCUCUUUAGGAAUCAUUUGGCGCAAUCAUCAUUUAAACUUGUUGGUCCUCUUUUAUCAUUGUAAAAGUUUAAAAUGGUCAUGCUUACCAGUAUCCUACUGCUUUGUAGCACUCUUAACCAUCAAUUUUCACUAGCUAAGUCCAAAAGCAUGCAUUGUUUAGAGAUCUACUUCACUUGGACAUUCUUUACUCAGUUCACUGUUCACAUUCUUGCUCUUGUCAUAUGCCUUUGCUUGAGGACAAGCAAAGAUUUAAGUGUGGGGGAACUUGAUAAGUAUAUUUCACAUAUAUAAUUUUGGUACUCAAAUAUAGCUUCUAUCGUGACAUAUUCGUCCAUUCUUGCCAUGAUUGNNNNNNNNNNNNNNNNNNNNNNNNNNNNNNNNNNCAUUACUUCCUUCAAAUUCAAUAAGUGGUUCAACAACAAAGUUAUAUUUCUGCAAAUAAGAGAUUUAAUUCCAGUUCUUUUUGUUCUCGGGAUCAUGCUCUCUUUAGGAAUCAUUUGGCGCAAUCAUCAUUUAAACUUGUUGGUCCUCUUUUAUCAUUGUAAAAGUUUAAAAUGGUCAUGCUUACCAGUAUCCUACUGCUUUGUAGCACUCUUAACCAUCAAUUUUCACUAGCUAAGUCCAAAAGCAUGCAUUGUUUAGAGAUCUACUUCACUUGGACAUUCUUUACUCAGUUCACUGUUCACAUUCUUGCUCUUGUCAUAUGCCUUUGCUUGAGGACAAGCAAAGAUUUAAGUGUGGGGGAACUUGAUAAGUAUAUUUCACAUAUAUAAUUUUGGUACUCAAAUAUAGCUUCUAUCGUGACAUAUUCGUCCAUUCUUGCCAUGAUUGAUUGAAUAUUGCUUGAUAAUCAUCAAAAAGGAUCAUUUACUAGUCUUUGGUCUAUCUUGCAGAAAUGUGCACAAAGGCACUAAUAAUCGUCAAGAUUCCGUCUAUGUGGCUAUCGAGAAGAGUGAAGAAGAGAAGAGAAGGAAGAAGAGACUUGUGUGAGAUGAAGAGAAGUAACCAGGGGGCUAGGUAAAGAAGUGGGAGGACCUUCUUGUGAAGAAAGAAGAGAAGAAAGAGGGCCAAAUCACAAAGUGCAGAUGAGAGGAGGGGAACAAAAUCCCUAGGCACUGGAGGGAUCCGAUCGGGCCUGGCCAUAUCUCCAUCUCUCUUCUCCCCCACCAGUUCUUCCACCUUAGGCCGCUGUCUCGGCCAGGCCGGCGUGGUGGUGCGCCUCUGCAGCCCAGCCACCACCAUCUCCAUCCAUCUCCGCUGCGCCACCAUCCACAUCAGCGCCCUGCGCCAUCCAUCACCAGCACCAACACCCAGCGCCACCCAGCACCUCCACACGCUCCACACCGCCGCCAUCCAUCACCACCGCACCACUGAACACCUCAGCGCGAGAGUUUCCCUGUUGCCGUCCUUCUUCCCUUGCCUCUGCUGCUGCUCUUGCUUGCGCCCCUGUGCUGCUGCCUUUCUUCUCCCCUUGCUACUGCUCCCCUUUUCUAGCGCCUCAACCUGCUGCUCCUUCUCCUCCGCCUGCUGCUAGUCCCUUUCCCACGCCUCUGCUGCUCCUCCUCUUAAAACUGCUGCUGCUCUUCUUUCCCACGUUCCUGCUAUGAACUCUGCUUCUCACCUCCGUUGCUGCUGUUUCUCUUCUGAACCUCUGCUACUGUUCAGCUCUGAACCUCUGCAUCUGUGUUGAAUGUUCUUUCAGUGUUCUUGAGAUGUGUAAAACUGUUCAAUAUUCAGCUUACAAUUUGUGAAACUUUUGUGAUUCAGUGGUGUCUCUAUGUUAUACAUAUAGCUUGUGUACUGCUUGCUGCAGUAAAUUUCAGUUUGUAAGUUCCUGUGAUAGCUCCAGUACAUGUGACUUUUAUGUUGUCUCAAGUUCCUGUUAUAUAUAUACAUAUGUGUGUGUCUGUGAUGUGAUACAUUUAUGUUCUAUCCUACAACCUUAUUGUGUUAGCAUUUUAUUUCUCAUGUAAAACGAAAAUACCAAAAAUAUUAUUGAAGAUAAUCUGAACCUCCUUUGCCCUUUUUGCAUUUUCUUUGGUGACGAUCUUUGGGUACAACCUUGUUUAGUGUAGGUUUAUUUUCUUGCAUUCAUAAUCUGAAUUGUGUUACCUAGCUUUAGCCAAGCACCGUCAUUGAUUUUCCUAGUCCCUCAUGAGAACACGACACUCGUAGUUUGGGGCGUAAAAACCCCGCUAUAUUACAAUUGAUCAUUUUGGCGCCGUUGCCGAUGACUAGCGUCGAGCGAUUGUGCGAAGCUAUAGACUAGGCUUAGUAUAGUUUUUGUUUAAAUUUCCAGUCAAAUUUAUUUCUGUGUUUCUUUUACCUUUUUACUUUUUGUUGCCUCGGCUUAUUAGGAUAGUAACCCUCUCACCAAUGUUUCAUGUUUGUGAGCGUGUGUAGGAUAUCUUAUUAUUUGUAGGCUGAUUGACAGUUGCACUUGAACAUAUGGCUUUAGUACGUGAUCUUUGGUUGCCAAGUAGUUUGGACACGAUGACAGGGCCAAUUUGGCCAUCUAUUGAGGCCAAAAAUUUUGAGUUGAGGCCUGGACUUAUUGCUCUCGUCUUGCAGAAUCAGUUUAGAGGAUUACCCAAUGAAGACCCUCAUGAGCACAUUAGUAAUGUUCUGGAGUAUGCCAAUACAGUCCAGUAUCAUGGCGUUUCCCAAGAUGCUAUCAAGUGUAUGUUGUUCACAUUCUCUCUCAGAGAUGCUGCUAAGGACUGGUACUAUUCUUUGCCAUCAAGAUCAUACACUUGGGGUGAUAUUUCACAAGCUUUCCUGCAUAGAUAUUUUCCACUUUACAAGCAAGCUGCAAUUCGUGACCAGAUCCUCAGUUUUGCGCAAGAUGGUAGUGAGAGCUUGUAUGCAGCUUGGGAGAGAUAUAAGUAUUUGCUUAGAAAAUGUCCUAAUCAUGGGCAAAAGGAUUGGUUAGUGCUUCAGAUAUUCUAUAGAGGGCUGACACAUGCUUCAAGAGAUCUUAUUGAUAUGUCAGCUGGUGGAACAAUCAUGAACAAGACCGUCGAGGGUGCAAUUAUUCUCAUUGAGAGCAUUGCCUUCCACCAAAUGCAAUGGGGUUAUGAAAGGCCUAGUUCAAAUCCGAAGGUUGCAAGCCUCGUGCAAUCAGAAGUUGUGUGUUCCAUAAGUGAACAGAAAUCAUCCAUGGUGCCUAAUAUUCAAAACCAGCAUGUUUCAUUCCGGGGACAACAACAUUUCAGAACUGAAUUAGAUCCUCCAUAUAGAACGAUUGAUCUUACUUCAAUUAUCCUUGACGAUGAUUAUGAUAUUUUUCAAGAUGAUGAAACUACUGUAGAUCAGAUGGAAACCACAGUAGCAGAUCCAAUACCUCAUGGCAAUGAAACUGUCCAGAAUGAGUCAAAGCUGCAAGAAGAUGUUUAUGAGGAACCUACUCUGAUUGAUGCUAAGUUGAGACAGCAAGAUAUGGAGAAAUUCACUUGUGUUAGUCAACUAUGUGACUGGUGGAAUUUAGUCGUGUCACCAAUUGCCCACACUUGUGUUACAACGGUAUCUGGGCUAUUUGUCAAGAAGAAAUCAUUAGCUCCACCGGUGGUUGCCUCUAUCACAGUUAAAGAGAGUAUCUCAGAGAAGAAUAGUGAAGAUGAGAUUCCAACUCCUGCACAUACAACUAAGCAAGUCGGAGCCAUUGCAAGGAGAGAGAUACAAGAGGUUGAAUCAAAUUUAGAAGAGUUGAUACUUCAAUAUCCUGAGAAUAUCCCACGUGUUGCUGAGCUGCAUGACUGGUGGAAGUCAUCAGUGUCACUGUUGAGACUUAGUAGUGAUGGUGAUGAGGAGAACAUUGCUCAGAAAGACAGCGAGGUAGUGAUCUCAGCACCCCUACCAGAUCAUGUUAGUGAAUAUUCACAUAUGGGGACACUUCAGACUCAAUUAAGUGUUGCUGGUAGUAGCACCAUAGAAGAUCCAGAGGAAGAGAGUCCUCAACUUGAAGAAGAUUUACAAGAAGACAAGGAACAAGAUGAUCAAGAGCUGCAAUUUCCAAGUGAUCAAGUUAAAGACUCAUCAUCUACUACUCCUGAAGAAGUACAAGAAGCUGCAGUAGAUGAAUAUGAAGAACCUGAUAUUCAUUGGCCUAUUGUCAUACAUGAGCGCGAUGUGUCAGGUUUACCCAAUCCUCUUGAUGACAUGAUCCCUUGUGAUUUCUUUGCUUCUAACUUGCAUUGCAUGAUGCCAUCACUUAAGGUAGAUUUGAAAAACCAUUUGCUUGGACAUGAUCAUACACACCCUGUUAGUGGCAUUACUCUCAUUUGUGAUGAUCACAAUUACUUUCCUCGUGCUACUUCUAUGCUUAAUGAAACAUAUCAUUCCCAUGUUAGUCUUGAGCUUAAUGAUAAAUAUCAUCCUCAUGUUAGCAUUGAGCUUACUGAUUUGUACCGUCCUAAACAUGUGCUUUAUAGCUAUGCUUAUGUAAUUGGGUACUCUAUAGAUGAUUUAGAGGGCAUUACCCUUGUCACUUGUAUUGUUUCCUUGGUUGAGUGCUCUUUCAGGUUGUUGCUUGUGCAUGAUCCACUACAUGCUGACCAAGUUCGAGAUGACAUUCCCUGGGACCCCGGUGGACCCAUGGCAUGGGGAUGAGGAGAAGCAAGGAGCACACAUGAAGAGAGAAGCUGGAGCAGGCAUGAGGAUAGAGAAGCAAAAAGAGAAGAGCUGCAGCUUAGAGAGUGAUCAAGCGAGUGCUACUUCAUAGUGCCCGGUUAGCUGUUUCAUGACCCAUUCUGAGUAUAUCAUCCAUUGAUGCUUGCUGAAUUAAAUUGCUAUUUGGGUUGCUUGUGCCAUUUCUUAAAUGUUGUCCCACUGAAUUUCACCUUUGACAUAUGGUGCUUGAUGAGAAUAUGCGAACUAAUUGUUGAAUGCCUUGUAACUAGUGAUCUACACCCUGUUUGCUCUGCUGAAAGUAGUGAAAGCUAUUAGUUCUAAGUGCUCAAAUCCCUAGUACACUAGAAAACUAAAUCAUUUUCUGCAUUUACUAUGAUACACCUAGAUCACCAUGUUUAGAUGCUGAAUUUGUGCCAAGUGUGUUCCCAUUGAGAGCAAUCACCUAACCACUAUGGAAUAGCAUGCUAUGUUCCCUGGAUCGGUAGCAUGUGAACCAGACAUGGAGAAGUGAUGAUUCCUGUUUUUGUGCUUAUGCAUUGUUCAUUUAAGAUAAGUAAUAAUGAAUAAAUUAGUCUGACUACCUACAGUAGCAUGUCAUGUUCUUGGGAUCGGUGGCAUGUGAAAUCGGGUUAGCUUGGGCAGUAAUUAUUAUAAAAAUGUAAUUGUCGAACCAGGUGUAUACCAUGUUCUCGGGAUCGGUGGUAUGUUCCUUUGGGGAGACAAACAAGAAAACUAUAUAAUUGGUCGAGCCGGGUGUAUACCAUGUUCUCGGGAUCGGUGGUAUGUUCCUUUGGUGAGAUCAAUAAAAUAUUAUCAUUACUUCCUUCAAAUUCAAUAAGUGGUUCAACCACAAAGUUAUAUUUCUGCAAAUAAGAAAUUUAAUUCCAGUUCUUUUUGUUCUCGGGAUCAUGCUCUCUUUAGGAAUCAUUUGGCGCAAUCAUCAUUUAAACUUGUUGGUCCUCUUUUAUCAUUGUAAAAGUUUAAAAUGGUCAUGCUUACCAGUAUCCUACUGCUUUGUAGCACUCUUAACCAUCAAUUUUCACUAGCUAAGUCCAAAAGCAUGCAUUGUUUAGAGAUCUACUUCACUUGGACAUUCUUUACUCAGUUCACUGUUCACAUUCUUGCUCUUGUCAUAUGCCUUUGCUUGAGGACAAGCAAAGAUUUAAGUGUGGGGGAACUUGAUAAGUAUAUUUCACAUAUAUAAUUUUGGUACUCAAAUAUAGCUUCUAUCGUGACAUAUUCGUCCAUUCUUGCCAUGAUUGAUUGAAUAUUGCUGGAUAAUCAUCAAAAAGGAUCAUUUACUAGUCUUUGGUCUAUCUUGCAGAAAUGUGCACAAAGGCACUAAUAAUCGUCAAGAUUCCGUCUAUGUGGCUAUCGAGAAGAGUGAAGAAGAGAAAAGAAGGAAGAAGAGACUUGUGUGAGAUCAAGAGAAGUAACCAGGAGGCUAGGUAAAGAAGUGGGAGGACCUUCUUGUGAAGAAAGAAGAGAAGAAAGAGGGCCAAAUCACAAAGUGCAGAUGAGAGGAGGGGAACAAAAUCCCUAGGCGCUGGAGGGAUCCGAUCGGGCCUGGCCAUAUCUCCAUCUCUCUUCUCCCCCACCAGUUCUUCCACCUCAGGCCGCUGCCACGGCCAGGCCGGCGUGGUGGAUCGCCUCUGCAGCCCAGCCACCACCAUCUCCAUCCAUCUCUGCUGCGCCACCAUCCACAUCAGCACCGCUGCGCCAUCCAUCACCAGCACCAACACCCAGCGCCACCUAGCACCUCCAAACGCUCCACACCGCCGCCAUCCAUCACCACCGCACCACUGAACACCUCUGUGCGAGAGUUUCCCUGCUGCCGUCCUUCUUCCCAUGCCUCUGCUGCUGCUCUUGCUUGCGCCCCUGUGCUGCUGCCUUUCUUCUCCCCUUGCUACUGCUCCCCUUUUCUAGCGCCUCAACCUGCUGCUCCUUCUCCUUGGCCUGCUGCUAGUCCCUUUCCCCACGCCUCUGCUGCUCCUCCUCUUAAAACUGCUGCUGCUCAUCUUUCCCACGUUCCUACUCUGAACUCUGCUUCUCACCUCCGUUGCUGCUGUUUCUCUUCUGAACCUCUGCUACUGUUCAGCUCUGAACCUCUGCAUCUGUGUUGAAUGUGCUUUCAGUGUUCUUGAGAUGUGUAAAACUGUUCAAUAUUCAGCUUACAAUUUGUGAAACUUUUGUGAUUCAGUGGUGUCUCUAUGUUAUACAUAUAGCUUGUGUACUGCUUGCUGCAGUAAAUUUCAGUUUGUAAGUUCCUGUGAUAGCUCCAGUACAUGUGACUUUUAUGUUGUCUCAAGUUCCUGUUAUAUAUAUACAUAUGUGUGUGUCUGUGAUGUGAUACAUUUAUGUUCUGUCCUACAACCUUAUUGUGUUAGCAUUUUAUUUCUCAUGUAAAACGAAAAUACCAAAAAUAUUAUUGAAGAUAAUCUGAACCUCCUUUGCCCUUUUUGCAUUUUCUUUGGUGACGAUCUUUGGGUACAACCUUGUUUAGUGUAGGUUUAUUUUCUUGCAUUCAUAAUCUGAAUUGUGUUACCUAGCUUUAGCCAAGCACCGUCAUCGAUUUGCCUAGUCCCCGAUGAGAACAUGACACUCAUAGUUUGGGGCGUAAAAACCCCGCUAUAUUACAAUUGAUCAUUUUGGCGCCGUUGUCGGGGACUAGCGUCGAGCGAUUGUGCGAAGCUAUAGACUAGGCUUAGUAUAGUUUUUGUUUAAAUUUCCAGUCAAAUUUAUUUCUGUGUUUCUUUUACCUUUUUACUUUUUGUUGCUUCGGCUUAUUAGGAUACUAACCCUCUCACCAAUGUUUCAUGUUUGUGAGCGUGUGUAGGAUAUCUUAUUAUUUGUAGGCUGAUUGACAGUUGCACUUGAACAUAUGGCUUUAGUACGUGAUCUUUGGUUGCCAAGUAGUUUGGACACGAUGACAGGGCCAAUUUGGCCAUCUAUUGAGGCCAAAAAUUUUGAGUUGAGGCCUGGACUUAUUGCUCUCGUCUUGCAGAAUCAGUUCAGAGGAUUACCCAAUGAAGACCCUCAUGAGCACAUUAGUAAUGUUCUGGAGUAUGCCAAUAUAGUCCAGUAUCAUGGCGUUUCCCAAGAUGCUAUCAAGUGUAUGUUGUUCACAUUCUCUCUCAGAGAUGCUGCUAAGGACUGGUACUAUUCUUUUCCAUCAAGAUCAUACACUUGGGGUGAUAUUUCACAAGCUUUCCUGCAUAGAUAUUUUCCACUUUACAAGCAAGCUGCAAUUCGUGACCAGAUCCUCAGUUUUGCGCAAGAUGGUAGUGAGAGCUUGUAUGCAGCUUGGGAGAGAUAUAAGUAUUUGCUUAGAAAAUGUCCUAAUCAUGGGCAAAAGGAUUGGUUAGUGCUUCAGAUAUUCUAUAGAGGGAUGACACAUGCUUUAAGAGAUCUUAUUGAUAUGUCAGCUGGUGGAACAAUCAUGAACAAGACCGUCGACGUUGCAAUUAUUCUCAUUGAGAGCAUUGCCUUCCACCAAAUGCAAUGGGGUUAUGAAAGGCCUAGUUCAAAUCCGAAGGUUGCAAGCCUCGUGCAAUCAUAAGUUGUGUGUUCCAUAAGUGAACAGAAAUCAUCCAUGGUGCCUAAUAUUCAAAACCAACAUGUUUCAUUCCGUGGACAACAACAUUUCAGAACUGAAUUAGAUCCUCCAUAUAGAACGAUUGAUCUUACUUCAAUUAUCCUUGACGAUGAUUAUGAUAUUUUUCAAGAUGAUGAAACUACUGUAGAUCAGAUGGAAACCACAGUAGCAGAUCCAAUACCUCAUGGCAAUGAAACUGUCCAGAAUGAGUCAAAGCUGCAAGAAGAUGUUUAUGAGGAACCUACUCUGAUUGAUGCUAAGUUGAGACAGCAAGAUAUGGAGAAAUUCACUUGUGUUAGUCAACUAUGUGACUGGUGGAAUUUAGUCGUGUCACCAAUUGCCCACACUUGUGUUACAACGGUAUCUGGGCUAUUUGUCAAGAAGAAAUCAUUAGCUCCACCGGUGGUUGCCUCUAUCACAGUUAAAGAGAGUAUCUCAGAGAAGAAUAGUGAAGAUGAGAUUCCAACUCCUGCACAUACAACUAAGCAAGUCGGAGCCAUUCCAAGGAGAGAGAUACAAGAGGUUGAGUCAAAUUUAGAAGAGUUGAUACUUCAAUAUCCUGAGAAGAUCCCACGUGUUGCUGAGCUGCAUGACUGGUGGAAGUCAUCAGUGUCACUGUUGAGACUUAGUAGUGAUGGUGAUGAGGAGAACAUUGCUCACAAAGACAGUGAGGUAGUGAUCUCAGCACCCCUACCAGAUCAUGUUAGUGAAUAUUCACAUAUGGGGACACUUCAGACUCAAUUAAGUGUUGCUGGUAGUAGCACCAUAGAAGAUCCCGAGGAAGAGAGUCCUCAACUUGAAGAAGAUUUACAAGAAGACAAGGAACAAGAUGAUCAAGAGCUGCAAUUUCCAAGUGAUCAAGUUGAAGACUCAUCAUCUACUACUCCUGAAGAAGUACAAGAAGCUGCUGUAGAUGAAGAUGAAGAACCUGAGAUUCAUUGGCCUAUUGUCAUACAUGAGCGCGAUGUGUCAGGUUUACCCAAUCCUCUUGAUGACAUGCUCCCUUGUGAUUUCUUUGCUUCUAACUUGCAUUGCAUGAUGCCAUCACUUAAGGUAGAUUUGAAAAACUAUUUGCUUGGACAUGAUCAUACACACCCUGUUAGUGGCAUUACUCUCAUUUGUGAUGAUCACAGUUACUUUCCUCGUGCUAGUUCUAUGCUUAAUGAAACAUAUCAUUCCCAUGUUAGUCUUGAGCUUAAUGAUAAAUAUCAUCCUCAUGUUAGCAUUGAGCUUACUGAUUUGUACCGUCCUAAACAUGUGCUUUAUAGCUAUGCUUAUGUAAUUGGGUACUCUAUAGAUGAUUUAGAGGGCAUUACCCUUGUCACUUGUAUUGUUUCCUUGGUUGAGUGCUCUUUCAGGUUGUUGCUUGUGCACGAUCCACUACAUGCUGACCAAGUUCGAGAUGACAUUCCCUGGGACCCCGGUGGACCCAUGGCAUGGGGAUGAGGAGAAGCAAGGAGCACACAUGAAGAGAGAAGCUGGAGCAGGCAUGAGGAUAGGGAAGCAAAAAGAGAAGAGCUGCAGCUUAGAGAGUGAUCAAGCGAGUGCUACUUCAUAGUGCCCGGUUAGCUGUUUCAUGACCCAUUCUGAGUAUAUCAUCCAUUGAUGCUUGCUGAAUUAAAUUGCUAUUUGGGUUGCUUGUGCCAUUUCUUAAAUGUUGUCCCACUGAAUUUCACCUUUGACAUAUGGUGCUUGAUGAGAAUAUGCGAACUAAUUGUUGAAUGCCUUGUAACUAGUGAUCUACACCCUGUUUGCUCUGCUGAAAGUAGUGAAAGCUAUUAGUUCUGAGUGCUCAAAUCCCUAGUACACUAGAAAACUAAAUCAUUUUCUGCAUUUACUAUGAUACACCUACAUCACCAUGUUUAGAUGCUGAAUUUUUGCCAAGUGUGUUCCCAUUGAGAGCAAUCACCUAACCACUAUGGAAUAGCAUGCUAUGUUCCCUGGAUCGGUAGCAUGUGAACCAGACAUGGAGAAGUGAUGAUUCCUGUUUUUGUGCUUAUGCAUUGUUCAUUUAAGAUAAGUAAUAAUGAAUAAAUUAGUCUGACUACCUACAGUAGCAUGUCAUGUUCUUGGGAUCGGUGGCAUGUGAAAUCGGGUUAGCUUGGGCAGUAAUAAUAUAAAAAUGUAAUUGUCGAACCAGGUGUAUACCAUGUUCUCGGGAUCGGUGGUAUGUUCCUUUGGGGAGACAAACAAGAAAACUAUAUAAUUGGUCGAGCCGGGUGUAUACCAUGUUCUCGAGAUCGGUGGUAUGUUCCUUUGGUGAGAUCAAUAAAAUAUUAUCAUUACUUCCUUCAAAUUCAAUAAGUGGUUCAACAACAAAGUUAUAUUUCUGCAAAUAAGAGAUUUAAUUCCAGUUCUUUUUGUUCUCGGGAUCAUGCUCUCUUUAGGAAUCAUUUGGCGCAAUCAUCAUUUAAACUUGUUGGUCCUCUUUUAUCAUUGUAAAAGUUUAAAAUGGUCAUGCUUACCAGUAUCCUACUGCUUUGUAGCACUCUUAACCAUCAAUUUUCACUAGCUAAGUCCAAAAGCAUGCAUUGUUUAGAGAUCUACUUCACUUGGACAUUCUUUACUCAGUUCACUGUUCACAUUCUUGCUCUUGUCAUAUGCCUUUGCUUGAGGACAAGCAAAGAUUUAAGUGUGGGGGAACUUGAUAAGUAUAUUUCACAUAUAUAAUUUUGGUACUCAAAUAUAGCUUCUAUCGUGACAUAUUCGUCCAUUCUUGCCAUGAUUGAUUGAAUAUUCCUUGAUAAUCAUCAAAAAGGAUCAUUUACUAGUCUUUGGUCUAUCUUGCAGAAAUGUGCACAAAGGCACUAAUAAUCGUCAAGAUUCCGUCUAUGUGGCUAUCGAGAAGAGUGAAGAAGAGAAGAGAAGGAAGAAGAGACUUGUGUGAGAUGAAGAGAAGUAACCAGGGGGCUAGGUAAAGAAGUGGGAGGACCUUCUUGUGAAGAAAGAAGAGAAGAAAGAGGGCCAAAUCACAAAGUGCAGAUGAGAGGAGGGGAACAAAAUCCCUAGGCGCUGGAGGGAUCCGAUCGGGCCUGGCCAUAUCUCCAUCUCUCUUCUCCCCCACCACUUCUUCCACCUCAGGCCGCUGUCUCGGCCAGGCCGGCGUGGUGGUGCGCCUCUGCAGCCCAGCCACCACCAUCUCCAUCCAUCUCCGCUGCGCCACCAUCCACAUCAGCGCCGCUGCGCCAUCCAUCACCAGCACCAACACCCAGCGCCACCCAGCACCUCCACACACUCCACACCGCCGCCAUCCAUCACCACCGCACCACUGAACACCUCCGCGCGAGAGUUUCCCUGCUGCCGUCCUUCUUCCCUUGCCUCUGCUGCUGCUCUUGCUUGCGCCCCUGUGCUGCUGCCUUUCUUCUCCCCUUGCUACUGCUCCCCUUUUCUAGCGCCUCAACCUGCUGCUCCUUCUCCUUCGCCUGCUGCUAGUCCCUUUCCCCAUGCCUCUGCUGCUCCUCCUCUUAAAACUGCUGCUGCUCUUCUUCCCCACGUUCCUGCUCUGCACUCUGCUUCUCACCUCCGUUGCUGCUGUUUCUCUUCUGAACCUCUGCUACUGUUCAGCUCUGAACCUCUGCAUCUGUGUUGAAUGUGCUUUCAGUGUUCUUGACAUGUGUAAAACUGUUCAAUAUUCAGCUUACAAUUUGUGAAACUUUUGUGAUACAGUGAUGUCUCUAUGUUAUACAUAUAGCUUGUGUACUGCUUGCUGCAGUAAAUUUCAGUUUGUAAGUUCCUGUGAUAGCUCCAGUACAUGUGACUUUUAUGUUGUCUCAAGUUCCUGUUAUAUAUAUACAUAUGUGUGUGUCUGUGAUGUGAUACAUUUAUGUUCUGUCCUACAACCUUAUUGUGUUAGCAUUUUAUUUCUCAUGUAAAACGAAAAUACCAAAAAUAUUAUUGAAGAUAAUCUGAACCUCCUUUGCCCUUUUUGCAUUUUCUUUGGUGACGAUCUUUGGGUACAACCUUGUUUAGUGUAGGUUUAUUUUCUUGCAUUCAUAAUCUGAAUUGUGUUACCUAGCUUUAGCCAACCACCGUCAUUGAUUUGCCUAGUCCCUCAUGAGAACACGACACUCAUAGUUUGGGGCGUAAAAACCCCGCUAUAUUACAAUUGAUCAUUUUGGCGCCGUUGCCGGGGACUAGCGUCGAGCGAUUGUGCGAAGCUAUAGACUAGGCUUAGUAUAGUUUUUGUUUAAAUUUCCAGUCAAAUUUAUUUCUGUGUUUCUUUUACCUUUUUACUAUUUGUUGCUUCGGCUUAUUAGGAUACUAACCCUCUCACCAAUGUUUCAUGUUUGUGAGCGUGUGUAGGAUAUCUUAUUAUUUGUAGGCUGAUUGACAGUUGCACUUGAACAUAUGGCUUUAGUACGUGAUCUUUGGUUGCCAAGUAGUUUGGACACGAUGACAGGGCCAAUUUGGCCAUCUAUUGAGGCCAAAAAUUUUGAGUUGAGGCCUGGACUUAUUGCUCUCGUCUUGCAGAAUCAGUUUAGAGGAUUACCCAAUGAAGACCCUCAUGAGCACAUUAGUAAUGUUCUGGAGUAUGCCAAUACAGUCUAGUAUCAUGGCGUUUCCCAAGAUGCUAUCAAGUGUAUGUUGUUCACAUUCUCUCUCAGAGAUGCUGCUAAGGACUGGUACUAUUCUUUUCCAUCAAGAUCAUACACUUGGGGUGAUAUUUCACAAGCUUUCCUGCAUAGAUAUUUUCCACUUUACAAGCAAGCUGCAAUUCGUGACCAGAUCCUCAGUUCUGCGCAAGAUGGUAGUGAGAGCUUGUAUGCAGCUUGGGAGAGAUAUAAGUAUUUGCUUAGAAAAUGUCCUAAUCAUGGGCAAAAGGAUUGGUUAGUGCUUCAGAUAUUCUAUAGAGGGAUGACACAUGCUUCAAGAGAUCUUAUUGAUAUGUCAACUGGUGGAACAAUCAUGAACAAGACCGUCGAGGGUGCAAUUAUUCUCAUUGAGAGCAUUGCCUUCCACCAAAUUCAAUGGGGUUAUCAAAGGCCUAGUUCAAAUCCGAAGGUUGCAAGCCUCGUGCAAUCAAAAGUUGUGUGUUCCAUAAGUGAACAGAAAUCAUCCAUGGUGCCUAAUAUUCAAAACCAGCAUGUUUCAUUCCGGGGACAACAACAUUUCAGAACUGAAUUAGAUCCUCCAUAUAGAACGAUUGAUCUUACUUCAAUUAUCCUUGAUGAUGAUUAUGAUAUUUUUCAAGAUGAUGAAACUACUGUAGAUCAGAUGGAAACCACAGUAGCAGAUCCAAUACCUCAUGGCAAUGAAACUAUCCAGAAUGAGUCAAAGCUGCAAGAAGAUGUUUAUGAGGAACCUACUCUGAUUGAUGCUAAGUUGAGACAGCAAGAUAUGGAGAAAUUCACUUGUGUUAGUCAACUAUGUGACUGGUGGAAUUUAGUCGUGUCACCAAUUGCCCACACUUGUGUUACAACGGUAUCUGGGCUAUUUGUCAAGAAGAAAUCAUUAGCUCCACCGGUGGUUGCCUCUAUCACAGUUAAAGAGAGUAUCUCAGAGAAGAAUAGUGAAGAUGAGAUUCCAACUCCUGCACAUACAACUAAGCAAGUCGGAGCCAUUCCAAGGAGAGAGAUACAAGAGGUUGAGUCAAAUUUAGAAGAGUUGAUACUUCAAUAUCCUGAGAAGAUCCCACGUGUUGCUGAGCUGCAUGACUGGUGGAAGUCAUCAGUGUCACUGUUGAGACUUAGUAGUGAUGGUGAUGAGGAGAACAUUGCUCACAAAGACAGUGAGGUAGUGAUCUCAGCACCCCUACCAGAUCAUGUUAGUGAAUAUUCACAUAUGGGGACACUUCAGACUCAAUUAAGUGUUGCUGGUAGUAGCACCAUAGAAGAUCCNNNNNNNNNNNNNNNNNNNNNNNNNNNNNNNNNNNNNNNNNNNNNNNNNNNNNNNNNNNNNNNNNNNNNNNNNNNNNNNNNNNNNNNNNNNNNNNNNNNNNNNNNNNNNNNNNNNNNNNNNNNNNNNNNNNNNNNNNNNNNNNNNNNNNNNNNNNNNNNNNNNNNNNNNNNNNNNNNNNNNNNNNNNNNNNNNNNNNNNNNNNNNNNNNNNNNNNNNNNNNNNNNNNNNNNNNNNNNNNNNNNNNNNNNNNNNNNNNNNNNNNNNNNNNNNNNNNNNNNNNNNNNNNNNNNNNNNNNNNNNNNNNNNNNNNNNNNNNNNNNNNNNNGAGGAAGAGAGUCCUCAACUUGAAGAAGAUUUACAAGAAGACAAGGAACAAGAUGAUCAAGAGCUGCAAUUUCCAAGUGAUCAAGUUGAAGACUCAUCAUCUACUACUCCUGAAGAAGUACAAGAAGCUGCUGUAGAUGAAGAUGAAGAACCUGAGAUUCAUUGGCCUAUUGUCAUACAUGAGCGCGAUGUGUCAGGUUUACCCAAUCCUCUUGAUGACAUGCUCCCUUGUGAUUUCUUUGCUUCUAACUUGCAUUGCAUGAUGCCAUCACUUAAGGUAGAUUUGAAAAACUAUUUGCUUGGACAUGAUCAUACACACCCUGUUAGUGGCAUUACUCUCAUUUGUGAUGAUCACAGUUACUUUCCUCGUGCUAGUUCUAUGCUUAAUGAAACAUAUCAUUCCCAUGUUAGUCUUGAGCUUAAUGAUAAAUAUCAUCCUCAUGUUAGCAUUGAGCUUACUGAUUUGUACCGUCCUAAACAUGUGCUUUAUAGCUAUGCUUAUGUAAUUGGGUACUCUAUAGAUGAUUUAGAGGGCAUUACCCUUGUCACUUGUAUUGUUUCCUUGGUUGAGUGCUCUUUCAGGUUGUUGCUUGUGCACGAUCCACUACAUGCUGACCAAGUUCGAGAUGACAUUCCCUGGGACCCCGGUGGACCCAUGGCAUGGGGAUGAGGAGAAGCAAGGAGCACACAUGAAGAGAGAAGCUGGAGCAGGCAUGAGGAUAGGGAAGCAAAAAGAGAAGAGCUGCAGCUUAGAGAGUGAUCAAGCGAGUGCUACUUCAUAGUGCCCGGUUAGCUGUUUCAUGACCCAUUCUGAGUAUAUCAUCCAUUGAUGCUUGCUGAAUUAACUUGCUAUUUGGGUUGCUUGUGCCAUUUCUUAAAUGUUGUCCCACUGAAUUUCACCUUUGACAUAUGGUGCUUGAUGAGAAUAUGCGAACUAAUUGUUGAAUGCCUUGUAACUAGUGAUCUACACCCUGUUUGCUCUGCUGAAAGUAGUGAAAGCUGUUAGUUCUGAGUGCUCAAAUCCCUAGUACACUAGAAAACUAAAUCAUUUUCUGCAUUUACUAUGAUACACCUACAUCACCAUGUUUAGAUGCUGAAUUUUUGCCAAGUGUGUUCCCAUUGAGAGCAAUCACCUAACCACUAUGGAAUAGCAUGCUAUGUUCCCUGGAUCGGUAGCAUGUGAACCAGACAUGGAGAAGUGAUGAUUCCUGUUUUUGUGCUUAUGCAUUGUUCAUUUAAGAUAAGUAAUAAUGAAUAAAUUAGUCUGACUACCUACAGUAGCAUGUCAUGUUCUUGGGAUCGGUGGCAUGUGAAAUCGGGUUAGCUUGGGCAGUAAUAAUAUAAAAAUGUAAUUGUCGAACCAGGUGUAUACCAUGUUCUCGGGAUCGGUGGUAUGUUCCUUUGGGGAGACAAACAAGAAAACUAUAUAAUUGGUCGAGCCGGGUGUAUACCAUGUUCUCGAGAUCGGUGGUAUGUUCCUUUGGUGAGAUCAAUAAAAUAUUAGCAUUACUUCCUUCAAAUUCAAUAAGUGGUUCAACAACAAAGUUAUAUUUCUGCAAAUAAGAGAUUUAAUUCCAGUUCUUUUUGUUCUCGGGAUCAUGCUCUCUUUAGGAAUCAUUUGGCGCAAUCAUCAUUUAAACUUGUUGGUCCUCUUUUAUCAUUGUAAAAGUUUAAAAUGGUCAUGCUUACCAGUAUCCUACUGCUUUGUAGCACUCUUAACCAUCAAUUUUCACUAGCUAAGUCCAAAAGCAUGCAUUGUUUAGAGAUCUACUUCACUUGGACAUUCUUUACUCAGUUCACUGUUCACAUUCUUGCUCUUGUCAUAUGCCUUUGCUUGAGGACAAGCAAAGAUUUAAGUGUGGGGGAACUUGAUAAGUAUAUUUCACAUAUAUAAUUUUGGUACUCAAAUAUAGCUUCUAUCGUGACAUAUUCGUCCAUUCUUGCCAUGAUUGAUUGAAUAUUGCUUGAUAAUCAUCAAAAAGGAUCAUUUACUAGUCUUUGGUCUAUCUUGCAGAAAUGUGCACAAAGGCACUAAUAAUCGUCAAGAUUCCGUCUAUGUGGCUAUCGAGAAGAGUGAAGAAGAGAAGAGAAGGAAGAAGAGACUUGUGUGAGAUGAAGAGAAGUAACCAGGGGGCUAGGUAAAGAAGUGGGAGGACCUUCUUGUGAAGAAAGAAGAGAAGAAAGAGGGCCAAAUCACAAAGUGCAGAUGAGAGGAGGGGAACAAAAUCCCUAGGCGCUGGAGGGAUCCGAUCGGGCCUGGCCAUAUCUCCAUCUCUCUUCUCCCCCACCACUUCUUCCACCUCAGGCCGCUGUCUCGGCCAGGCCGGCGUGGUGGUGCGCCUCUGCAGCCCAGCCACCACCAUCUCCAUCCAUCUCCGCUGCGCCACCAUCCACAUCAGCGCCGCUGCGCCAUCCAUCACCAGCACCAACACCCAGCGCCACCCAGCACCUCCACACACUCCACACCGCCGCCAUCCAUCACCACCGCACCACUGAACACCUCCGCGCGAGAGUUUCCCUGCUGCCGUCCUUCUUCCCUUGCCUCUGCUGCUGCUCUUGCUUGCGCCCCUGUGCUGCUGCCUUUCUUCUCCCCUUGCUACUGCUCCCCUUUUCUAGCGCCUCAACCUGCUGCUCCUUCUCCUUCGCCUGCUGCUAGUCCCUUUCCCCAUGCCUCUGCUGCUCCUCCUCUUAAAACUGCUGCUGCUCUUCUUCCCCACGUUCCUGCUCUGCACUCUGCUUCUCACCUCCGUUGCUGCUGUUUCUCUUCUGAACCUCUGCUACUGUUCAGCUCUGAACCUCUGCAUCUGUGUUGAAUGUGCUUUCAGUGUUCUUGACAUGUGUAAAACUGUUCAAUAUUCAGCUUACAAUUUGUGAAACUUUUGUGAUACAGUGAUGUCUCUAUGUUAUACAUAUAGCUUGUGUACUGCUUGCUGCAGUAAAUUUCAGUUUGUAAGUUCCUGUGAUAGCUCCAGUACAUGUGACUUUUAUGUUGUCUCAAGUUCCUGUUAUAUAUAUACAUAUGUGUGUGUCUGUGAUCUGAAACAUUUAUGUUCUAUCCUACAACCUUAUUGUGUUAGCAUUUUAUUUCUCAUGUAAAACGAAAAUACCAAAAAUAUUAUUGAAGAUAAUCUGAACCUCCUUUGCCCUUUUUGCAUUUUCUUUGGUGACGAUCUUUGGGUACAACCUUGUUUAGUGUAGGUUUAUUUUCUUGCAUUCAUAAUCUGAAUUGUGUUACCUAGCUUUAGCCAACCACCGUCAUUGAUUUGCCUAGUCCCUCAUGAGAACACGACACUCAUAGUUUGGGGCGUAAAAACCCCGCUAUAUUACAAUUGAUCAUUUUGGCGCCGUUGCCGGGGACUAGCGUCGAGCGAUUGUGCGAAGCUAUAGACUAGGCUUAGUAUAGUUUUUGUUUAAAUUUCCAGUCAAAUUUAUUUCUGUGUUUCUUUUACCUUUUUACUAUUUGUUGCUUCGGCUUAUUAGGAUACUAACCCUCUCACCAAUGUUUCAUGUUUGUGAGCGUGUGUAGGAUAUCUUAUUAUUUGUAGGCUGAUUGAUAGUUGCACUUGAACAUAUGGCUUUAGUACGUGAUCUUUGGUUGCCAAGUAGUUUGGACACGAUGACAGGGCCAAUUUGGCCAUCUAUUGAGGCCAAAAAUUUUGAGUUGAGGCCUGGACUUAUUGCUCUCGUCUUGCAGAAUCAGUUUAGAGGAUUACCCAAUGAAGACCCUCAUGAGCACAUUAGUAAUGUUCUGGAGUAUGCCAAUACAGUCUAGUAUCAUGGCGUUUCCCAAGAUGCUAUCAAGUGUAUGUUGUUCACAUUCUCUCUCAGAGAUGCUGCUAAGGACUGGUACUAUUCUUUUCCAUCAAGAUCAUACACUUGGGGUGAUAUUUCACAAGCUUUCCUGCAUAGAUAUUUUCCACUUUACAAGCAAGCUGCAAUUCGUGACCAGAUCCUCAGUUCUGCGCAAGAUGGUAGUGAGAGCUUGUAUGCAGCUUGGGAGAGAUAUAAGUAUUUGCUUAGAAAAUGUCCUAAUCAUGGGCAAAAGGAUUGGUUAGUGCUUCAGAUAUUCUAUAGAGGGAUGACACAUGCUUCAAGAGAUCUUAUUGAUAUGUCAACUGGUGGAACAAUCAUGAACAAGACCGUCGAGGGUGCAAUUAUUCUCAUUGAGAGCAUUGCCUUCCACCAAAUUCAAUGGGGUUAUGAAAGGCCUAGUUCAAAUCCGAAGGUUGCAAGCCUCGUGCAAUCAAAAGUUGUGUGUUCCAUAAGUGAACAGAAAUCAUCCAUGGUGCCUAAUAUUCAAAACCAGCAUGUUUCAUUCCGGGGACAACAACAUUUCAGAACUGAAUUAAAUCCUCCAUAUAGAACGAUUGAUCUUACUUCAAUUAUCCUUGAUGAUGAUUAUGAUAUUUUUCAAGAUGAUGAAACUACUGUAGAUCAGAUGGAAACCACAGUAGCAGAUCCAAUACCUCAUGGCAAUGAAACUGUCCAGAAUGAGUCAAAGCUGCAAGAAGAUGUUUAUGAGGAACCUACUCUGAUUGAUGCUAAGUUGAGACAGCAAGAUAUGGAGAUAUUCACUUGUGUUAGUCAACUAUGUGACUGGUGGAAUUUAGUCGUGUCACCAAUUGCCCACACUUGUGUUACAACGGUAUCUGGGCUAUUUGUCAAGAAGAAAUCAUUAGCUCCACCGGUGGUUGCCUCUAUCACAGUUAAAGAGAGUAUCUCAGAGAAGAAUAGUGAAGAUGAUAUUCCAACUCCUGCACAUACAACUAAGCAAGUCGGAGCCAUUCCAAGGAGAGAGAUACAAGAGGUUGAGUCAAAUUUAGAAGAGUUGAUACUUCAAUAUCCUGAGAAGAUCCCACGUGUUGCUGAGCUGCAUGACUGGUGGAAGUCAUCAGUGUCACUGUGGAGACUUAGUAGUGAUGGUGAUGAGGAGAACAUUGCUCAGAAAGACAACGAGGUAGUGAUCUCAGCACCCCUACCAGAUCAUGUUAGUGAAUAUUCACAUAUGGGGACACUUCAGACUCAAUUAAGUGUUGCUGGUAGUAGCACCAUAGAAGAUCCAGAGGAAGAGAGUCCUCAACUUGAAGAAGAUUUACAAGAAGACAAGGAACAAGAUGAUCAAGAGCUGCAAUUUCCAAGUGAUCAAGUUGAAGACUCAUCAUCUACUACUCCUGAAGAAGUACAAGAUGCUGCUAUAGAUGAAGAUGAAGAACCUGAGAUUCAUUGGCCUAUUGUCAUACAUGAGCGCGAUGUGUCAGGUUUACCCAAUCCUCUUGAUGACAUGCUCCCUUGUGACUUCUUUGCUUCUAACUUGCAUUGCAUGAUGCCAUCACUUAAGGUAGAUUUGAAAAACUAUUUGCUUGGACAUGAUCAUACACACCCUGUUAGUGGCAUUACUCUCAUUUGUGAUGAUCACAGUUACUUUCCUCGUGCUAGUUCUAUGCUUAAUGAAACAUAUCAUUCCCAUGUUAGUCUUGAGCUUAAUGAUAAAUAUCAUCCUCAUGUUAGCAUUGAGCUUACUGAUUUGUACCGUCCUAAACAUGUGCUUUAUAGCUAUGCUUAUGUAAUUGGGUACUCUAUAGAUGAUUUAGAGGGCAUUACCCUUGUCACUUGUAUUGUUUCCCUGGUUGAGUGCUCUUUCAGGUUGUUGCUUGUGCACGAUCCACUACAUGCUGACCAAGUUCGAGAUGACAUUCCCUGGGACCCCGGUGGACCCAUGGCAUGGGGAUGAGGAGAAGCAAGGAGCACACAUGAAGAGAGAAGCUGGAGCAGGCAUGAGGAUAGAGAAGCAAAAAGAGAAGAGCUGCAGCUUAGAGAGUGAUCAAGCGAGUGCUACUUCAUAGUGCCCGGUUAGCUGUUUCAUGACCCAUUCUGAGUAUAUCAUCCAUUGAUGCUUGCUGAAUUAAAUUGCUAUUUGGGUUGCUUGUGCCAUUUAUUAAAUGUUGUCCCACUGAAUUUCACCUUUGACAUAUGGUGCUUGAUGAGAAUAUGCGAACUAAUUGUUGAACGCCUUGUAACUAGUGAUCUACACCCUGUUUGCACUGCUGAAAGUAGUGAAAGCUAUUAGUUCUGAGUGCUCAAAUCCCUAGUACACUAGAAAACUAAAUCAUUUUCUGCAUUUACUAUGAUACACCUAGAUCACCAUGUUUAGAUGCUGAAUUUGUGCCAAGUGUGUUCCCAUUGAGAGCAAUCACCUAACCACUAUGGAAUAGCAUGCUAUGUUCCCUGGAUCGGUAGCAUGUGAACCAGACAUGGAGAAGUGAUGAUUCCUAUUUUUGUGCUUAUGCAUUGUUCAUUUAAGAUAAGUAAUAAUGAAUAAAUUAGUCUGACUACCUACAGUAGCAUGUCAUGUUCUUGGGAUCGGUGGCAUGUGAAAUCGGGUUAGCUUGGGCAGUAAUUAUUAUAAAAAUGUAAUUGUCGAACCAGGUGUAUACCAUGUUCUCGGGAUCGGUGGUAUGUUCCUUUGGGGAGACAAACAAGAAAACUAUAUAAUUGGUCGAGCCGGGUGUAUACCAUGUUCUCGGGAUCGGUGGUAUGUUCCUUUGGUGAGAUCAAUAAAAUAUUAUCAUUACUUCCUUCAAAUUCAAUAAGUGGUUCAACCACAAAGUUAUAUUUCUGCAAAUAAGAGAUUUAAUUCCAGUUCUUUUUGUUCUCGGGAUCAUGCUCUCUUUAGGAAUCAUUUGGCGCAAUCAUCAUUUAAACUUGUUGGUCCUCUUUUAUCAUUGUAAAAGUUUAAAAUGGUCAUGCUUACCAGUAUCCUACUGCUUUGUAGCACUCUUAACCAUCAAUUUUCACUAGCUAAGUCCAAAAGCAUGCAUUGUUUAGAGAUCUACUUCACUUGGACAUUCUUUACUCAGUUCACUGUUCACAUUCUUGCUCUUGUCAUAUGCCUUUACUUGAGGACAAGCAAAGAUUUAAGUGUGGGGGAACUUGAUAAGUAUAUUUCACAUAUAUAAUUUUGGUACUCAAAUAUAGCUUCUAUCGUGACAUAUUCGUCCAUUCUUGCCAUGAUUGAUUGAAUAUUGCUUGAUAAUCAUCAAAGAGGAUCAUUUACUAGUCUUUGGUCUAUCUUGCAGAAAUGUGCGCAAAGGCACUAAUAAUCGUCAAGAUUCCGUCUAUGUGGCUAUCGUGAAGAGUGAAGAAGAGAAGAGAAGGAAGAAGAGACUUGUGUGAGAUGAAGAGAAGUAACCAGGGGGCUAGGUAAAGAAGUGGGAGGACCUUCUUGUGAAGAAAGAAGAGAAGAAAGAGGGCCAAAUCACAAAGUGCAGAUGAGAGGAGGGGAACAAAAUCUAGGCGCUGGAGGGAUCCGAUCGGGCCUGGCCAUAUCUCCAUCUCUCUUCUCCCCCACCACUUCUUCCACCUCAGGCCGCCGCCACGGCCAGGCCGGCGUGGUGGUGUGCCUCUGCAGCCCAGCCACCACCAUCUCCAUCCAUCUCCGCUGCGGCACCAUCCACAUCAGCGCCGCUGCGCCAUCCAUCACCAGCACCAACACCCAGCGCCACCUAGCACCUCCACACGCUCCACACCGCCACCAUCUAUCACCACCGCACCACUGAACACCUCCGUGCGAGAGUUUCCCUGCUGCCGUCCUUCUUCCCUUGCCUCUGUAGCUGCUCUUUCUUGCGCCCCUGUGCUGCUGCCUUUCUUCUCCCCUUGCUACUGCUCCCCUUUUCUAGCGCCUCAACCUGCUGCUGCUUCUCCUUCGCCUGCUGCUAGUCCCUUUCCCCACGCCUCUGCUGCUCCUCCUCUUAAAACUGCUACUGCUCUUCUUUCCCACGUUCCUGCUCUGCACUCUGCUUCUCACCUCCGUUGCUGCUGUUUCUCUUCUGAACCUCUGCUACUGUUCAACUCUGAACCUCUGCAUCUGUGUUGAAUGUGCUUUCAGUGUUCUUGAGAUGUGUAAAACUGUUCAAUAUUCAGCUUACAAUUUGUGAAACUUUUGUGAUUCAGCGGUGUCUCUAUGUUAUACAUAUAGAUUGUGUAUUGCUCGCUGCAGUAAAUUUCAGUUUGUAAGUUCCUGUGAUAGCUCUAGUACAUGUGACUUUUAUGUUGUCUCAAGUUCCUGUUAUAUAUAUACAUAUGUGUGUGUCUGUGAUGUGAUACAUUUAUGUUCUGUCCUACAACCUUAUUGUGUUAGCAUUUUAUUUCUCAUGUAAAACGAAAAUACCAAAAAUAUUAUUGAAGAUAAUCUGAACCUCCUUUGCCCUUUUUGCAUUUUCUUUGGUGAUGAUCUUUGGGUACAACCUUGUUUAGUAUAGGUUUAUUUUCUUGCAUUCAUAAUCUGAAUUGUGUUACCUAGCUUUAGCCAAGCACCAUCAUCGAUUUGGCUAGUCCCUGAUGAGAACACGACACUCGUAAUUUGGGGCGUAAAAACCCCGCUAUAUUACAAUUGAUCAUUUUGGCGCCGUUGCCGGGGACUAGCGUCGAGCGAUUGUGCGAAGCUGUAGACUAGGCUUAGUAUAGUUUUUGUUUAAAUUUCCAGUCAAAUUUAUUUCUGUGUUUCUUUUACCUUUUUACUUUUUGUUGCUUCGGCUUAUUAGGAUACUAACCCUCUCACCAAUGUUUCAUGUUUGUGAGCGUGUGUAGGAUAUCUUAUUAUUUGUAGGCUGAUUGACAGUUGCACUUGAACAUAUGGCUUUAGUACGUGAUCUUUGGUUGCCAAGUAGUUUGGACACGAUGACAGGGCCAAUUUGGCCAUCUAUUGAGGCCAAAAUUUUUGAGUUGAGGCCUGGACUUAUUGCUCUCGUCUUGCAGAAUCAGUUUAGAGGAUUACCCAAUGAAGACCCUCAUGAGCACAUUAGUAAUGUUCUGGAGUAUGCCAAUACAGUCCAGUAUCAUGGCGUUUCCCAAGAUGCUAUCAAGUGUAUGUUGUUCACAUUCUCUCUCAGAGAUGCUGCUAAGGACUGGUACUAUUCUUUGCCAUCAAGAUCAUACACUUGGGGUGAUAUUUCACAAGCUUUCCUGCAUAGAUAUUUUCCACUUUACAAGCAAGCUGCAAUUCGUGACCAGAUCCUCAGUUUUGCGCAAGAUGGUAGUGAGAGCUUGUAUGCAGCUUGGGAGAGAUAUAAGUAUUUGCUUAGAAAAUGUCCUAAUCAUGGGCAAAAGGAUUGGUUAGUGCUUCAGAUAUUCUAUAGAGGGCUGACACAUGCUUUAAGAGAUCUUAUUGAUAUGUCAGCUGGUGGAACAAUCAUGAACAAGACCGUCGAGGGUGCAAUUAUUCUCAUUGAGAGCAUUGCCUUCCACCAAAUGCAAUGGGGUUAUGAAAGGCCUAGUUCAAAUCCGAAGGUUGCAAGCCUCGUGCAAUCAGAAGUUGUGUGUUCCAUAAGUGAACAUAAAUCAUCCAUGGUGCCUAAUAUUCAAAACUAGAAUGUUUCAUUCCGGGGACAACAACAUUUUAGAACUGAAUUAGAUCCUCCAUAUAGAAUGAUUGAUCUUACUUCAAUUAUCCUUGACGAUGAUUAUGAUAUUUUUCAAGAUGAUGAAACUACUGUAGAUCAGAUGGAAACCACAGUAGCAGAUCCAAUACCUCAUGGCAAUGAAACUGUCCAGAAUGAGUCAAAGCUGCAAGAAGAUGUUUAUGAGGAACCUACUCUGAUUGAUGCUAAGUUGAGACAGCAAGAUAUGGAGAAAUUCACUUGUGUUAGUCAACUAUGUGACUGGUGGAAUUUAGUCGUGUCACCAAUUGCCCACACUUGUGUUACAACGGUAUCUGGGCUAUUUGUCAAGAAGAAAUCAUUAGCUCCACCGGUGGUUGCCUCUAUCACAGUUAAAGAGAGUAUCUCAGAGAAGAAUAGUGAAGAUGAGAUUCCAACUCCUGCACAUACAACUAAGCAAGUCGGAGCCAUUCCAAGGAGAGAGAUACAAGAGGUUGAGUCAAAUUUAGAAGAGUUGAUACUUCAAUAUCCUGCGAAGAUCCCACGUGUUGCUGAGCUGCAUGACUGGUGGAAGUCAUCAGUGUCACUGUUGAGACUUAGUAGUGAUGGUGAUGAGGAGAACAUUGCUCAGAAAGACAGCGAGGUAGUGAUCUCAGCACCCCUACCAGAUCAUGUUAGUGAAUAUUCACAUAUGGGGACACUUCAGACUCAAUUAAGUGUUGCUGGUAGUAGCACCAUAGAAGAUCCAGAGGAAGAGAGUCCUCAACUUGAAGAAGAUUUACAAGAAGACAAGGAACAAGAUGAUCAAGAGCUGCAAUUUCCAAGUGAUCAAGUUGAAGACUCAUCAUCUACUACUCCUGAAGAAGUAUAAGAUGCUGCUGUAGAUGAAGAUGAAGAACCUGAGAUUCAUUGGCCUAUUGUCAUACAUGAGCCCGAUGUGUCAGGUUUACCCAAUCCUCUUGAUGACAUGCUCCCUUGUGAUUUCUUUGCUUCUAACUUGCAUUGCAUGAUGCCAUCACUUAAGGUAGAUUUGAAAAACUAUUUGAUGGGGUUAUGUACCUAGGGUAGGGUCAUGGACCUGUUCCAAGUAACUUACCCCAAGACAUCCUUAGAGGAGGUCGCCUUCCAGUCGACCAAUGAGGACUCACUCGACUGGCCUGAAGGACUCGACCACGAAGACUCACUCGACCACCAGGAGGUCAAGAGGCACUCUGCACUGCAACGGCCUGUAAUCAAGUAGACUUUAUGAUAGUAAAGGCACUUUAUGUGGGGCGUUACCAGUAACGCCCCAGACUUAACUCACCUUAAACCCUCUCCUGCGUGGGCUGGCUAGGGUCCUGGCGCACUCUAUAUAAGCCACCCUCCUCCACAGGCAGAGGGGUUCGGCACCUUGUAAUUCAUGCAUUCAUAAUCCACUCGACCGCCUCCGGGCUCCGAGACGUAGGGCUGUUACUUCUUCCGAGAAGGGCAUGAACUCGUACAUCCUUUGUGCUUACAACCUCUCCAUAGCUAGGACCUUGCCUCUCCAUACCUACCCCCCACUCUACUGUCAGGCUUAGAACCACGACAGUUGGCGCCCACCGUGGGGCCGGUGUUUUAGCGAUUUUGUGGAGAAGUUGCGAUUCUUCCGAGUACUCUCAUCAUGGUGUCUGCUGGAGUUUUGGUUGAGGGUCAAGAGAUCCGUCUCGGCACUCUCACCUUCAUCGCCGACGACUCCGCAUGGCUCCAGGAGGCUCCACUCGACGUAGACGCGCUCCCCGUCCGCGGUGCGACGCAUUUUCGCGCAUGUGUCCGCGGCGUUCUGCUGCGGCAACCGUCGACCCAGUAUCGGUCGGCUCCUCCAUCGUCCACCCUCCCGGUCUCCCGCCAGCGCAAGCGCUCAGGCCGGUCGAGGCUUCAGCGAUGGGUGAGUCACGCAGUGACUCGCCAAUCGGCCACUACACAAGUUGCGGCAAUCGAGCCCAACGAAUCUCUCUACAGCUUGUUCGAUCAGUCGACUGGCUCCGGAGAGACUGCAUCCGAGUGCGGAAGCAGUGAUCCAGCGGCGGAAAUCUUGAUGGUCGACGGGCCCCACAGCCCUCCUGGCUUCGCCCGUGGUGGUGGAGCAGGUGACGGCGGCGACCCUGCAUGAGACUACGAAGAGUACCAGCCCGAGCCACUCGACUCUCUGCAAAGAGAAGAGCUUCGCCGCAGGAACGAGGAUCCCCUGCGUAUUCCCAUCGCAGGAGAAACCCCCGAGGCUCGUGCCUUGGAGGAGGCGCGUCUGGCCAAUUUGGCCGAGCGCACUCGACUGGAGAACCUUCAGCGAGCACUCGACGAGCGCGCGCGGCAACGAGUUCCCGACACCAGUCGACGUCAACUCUUCCCGCCGACUCAGGUAUAUCGAACCCCAAUUCAGAAUUUAGCAGCUGCGACCCGUAUAGCAGAGUCCAUUCAGCCUUCGCAGUCGGAAGCUGGCAGAGGUUUGCUGCAGAUCAGGGAUCUGCUCCGGGCGGCAGGAGAUCAGAAUUCAGCCGUGUCUCAGUCGCGCAACAGAAUUCACAGUCGAUCUGUCACUGUGAAUACGGUUCAGUCGGCUCACAGCCCCAGAUCGCCUCCGCGGCGCGAAGGGCGUGAGAAUCGGCGAGAUCAAUAUGGCGACAGACUCGACCGAGAUGAUAGGCGUCGAAUGCCCUAUUCCCCUCCGAGGGGUGGGUCUUACGCUCCUCGGCAGCCAGAUGAUAGGCGUCAGUACAGUACAGGGCGUAGGGUUCCAGUUGACCCCAGAGAGCCAGGCUUCGACGCGCGAUCCAUUAUCGUGCAAGGGUUGGUCGACCGGAACAGAGCCCAUCGAGGCGCACUCGACAGAGAUGUACCCACGAGCAGUCGAGUACAUGUUUCUGGUCCUGAAUGUUUCAGCAGAGCUAUCAGAGCCGCAGUUAUCCCCCCCAAUUUCAGGUUGGCAACAGGAGUCAGCAAGUUCACUGGUGAGUCUAAGCCUGAAACUUGGCUUGAAGACUACCGAGUGGCAGUUCAGAUCGGUGGUGGGAACGACGAGGUGGCCAUGAAGCAUUUGCCCCUCAUGUUGGAAGGUUCUGCCAGGGCAUGGUUGACUCAAUUACCUCCUAGCAGCAUUUACACUUGGGAAGAUCUGUCCCGANNNNNNNNNNNNNNNNNNNNNNNNNNNNNNNNNNNNNNNNNNNNNNNNNNNNNNNNNNNNNNNNNNNNNNNNNNNNNNNNNNNNNNNNNNNNNNNNNNNNNNNNNNNNNNNNNNNNNNNNNNNNNNNNNNNNNNNNNNNNNNNNNNNNNNNNNNNNNNNNNNNNNNNNNNNNNNNNNNNNNNNNNNNNNNNNNNNNNNNNNNNNNNNNNNNNNNNNNNNNNNNNNNNNNNNNNNNNNNNNNNNNNNNNNNNNNNNNNNNNNNNNNNNNNNNNNNNNNNNNNNNNNNNNNNNNNNNNNNNNNNNNNNNNNNNNNNNNNNNNNNNNNNNNNNNNNNNNNNNNNNNNNNNNNNNNNNNNNNNNNNNNNNNNNNNNNNNNNNNNNNNNNNNNNNNNNNNNNNNNNNNNNNNNNNNNNNNNNNNNNNNNNNNNNNNNNNNNNNNNNNNNNNNNNNNNNNNNNNNNNNNNNNNNNNNNNNNNNNNNNNNNNNNNNNNNNNNNNNNNNNNNNNNNNNNNNNNNNNNNNNNNNNNNNNNNNNNNNNNNNNNNNNNNNNNNNNNNNNNNNNNNNNNNNNNNNNNNNNNNNNNNNNNNNNNNNNNNNNNNNNNNNNNNNNNNNNNNNNNNNNNNNNNNNNNNNNNNNNNNNNNNNNNNGAUAAAGAAGGGAACGACGUGAUGGAUAUGCCGUGUCACAUUCACACGAAGAAAGAUGAAGAGGGGAAUAUCAUUUACCCAAAGCACACCACUCGCCAAUGUCGACUCCUGAUCCAGCAGUUUCAGGAAAAACAGUCUAAGGACAAGGAGAAGGAGUCGGACAAGGCCGAAGACAAAGAGGACAGUGAGGGAGGAUAUCCGCAUAUCAACUCCACUCUGAUGAUCUUUGCAGAUGUGGAAAGCAGAAGUCGACUGAAAGUGAUUAACCGAGAGGUGAACAUGGUUGCCCCAGCAAAGGCAAAUUAUCUGAAGUGGUCUCAAACACCCAUCACAUUCGACCAAUCUGAUCACCCGACUCAUAUUGCCACCCCCGGGAGGCAAGCUUUGGUGGUCGAUCCAGUUGUCGAAGGCACUCGACUGACAAAGGUGCUGAUGGAUGGUGGAAGUGGGCUGAACUUAUUGUAUGCAGACACAUUGAAAGGUAUGGGCAUUCCGAUGUCCCGACUGAGCACUAGUAACAUGAGCUUCCAUGGAGUUAUACCAGGGAAGAAGGCCGAGUCACUCGGUCAGAUAGCUUUGGACGUAGUGUUUGGUGAUUCGAAGCAUUUUCGCAAAGAAAAGUUGACGUUUGAGGUCGUGGAUUUUCAAAGUGCAUAUCAUGCCAUUUUGGGGAGACCAGCCUAUGCACGGUUCAUGGCUCGACCAUGUUACGUGUACCUCAAAUUGAAGAUGCCCGGUCCCAAAGGUGUGAUCACUGUCACCGGUGAUAGGAAAAAGGCAGAGGAGUGCUUUCAGAAGGGCUCCAAGAUUGCCGAUUCCCAAGUGACAGAGGUCGAGUUCGAAGAAUACAAGCAAAACGCAGAUCCGAGUGACUUGCUGCGAUCCAAGAAGCCCGCCACAGAGUCUGCAUUCCAGUCGUCCGGUGAGACGAAGCCUGUUCACAUUCACCCGACCGACCCCGAAGCAGCUCCGACCCGCAUCUCCACAACACUCGACCCAAAAUAGGAAGAAGCGCUCAUCCAGUUCCUCCGUGAGAACUGGGACAUUUUUGCAUGGAAGCCCGCUGACAUGCCAUGUGUUCCCAGGGGACUGGCUGAGCAUCGCCUAAGAGUCGACUCGUCUGCAAAACCCGUCAAAGAGCAUCUUCGGCGGUCCGCCAUCCAGAAGAGAAAGGCCAUCGGUGAAGAAGUGGCUCGACUGUUGGCGGCAGGAUUUAUCCGAGAGAUAUACCACUCCGAGUGGCUCGCUAAUGUCGUCAUGGUUCCUAAGAAGGACAAGUCGCUCCGAAUGUGCAUUGAUUUCAAGCACAUCAACCGGGCCUGCCCGAAAGAUCACUUUCCUCUCCCUCGCAUAGAUCAAAUUGUUGACUCGACCGCGGGAUGCGAGAGGUUGUCUUUUUUAGAUGCUUACUCCGGGUACCACCAGAUCCGUCUGUACGGGCCCGAUGAGGUAAAAACAACUUUCAUCACUCCAUUCGGGUGCUUCUGCUAUAUCACCAUGCCAUUCGGCCUCAAGAAUGCCGGAGCCACAUUUAUGCGAAUGAUUCAGAAGUGUCUACUCACUCAAAUCAGUCGGAAUGUGGAAGCUUAUAUGGAUGAUAUUGUUGUCAAGUCACGAAAAGGUUCCGACCUGCUCGCUGACCUCGCCGAAACAUUUGCCAACCUCAGAAGGUAUGAUAUCAAGCUCAAUCCAUCAAAGUGCACAUUUGGAGUUCCUGGUGGCAAGUUACUCGGUUUUCUCGUUUCCGAACGGGGAAUCGACGCUAACCCAGAGAAGAUUGGCACUAUUCUCCGAAUGAAACGCCCUGUGCGAGUGCACGAUGUCCAGAAACUUACUGGAUGCUUGGCCGCAUUAAGUCGAUUCAUCUCACGACUCGGUGAAAAGGCACUGCCUCUUUACCGACUGAUGAAGAAGGCUGACAAGUUCGAGUGGACUCCGGAAGCUGAUGCAGCGUUUGCCGAGCUAAAAGCUCUGCUCUCCACCCAGCCGGUGCUUGCUGCUCCAAUCAGCAAAGAGCCUCUGUUGCUCUACAUCGCAGCCACAGGACAAGUCGUCAGUACUGUGCUAACGGUCGAGCGGGAAGAAGAAGGAAAAGCUCUCAAAGUUCAGCGCCCAGUGUAUUAUUUGUCUGAAGUCUUGACUCCAUCCAAGCAGAGAUAUCCUCAUUAUCAGAAGCUUGUGUAUGGAAUAUACAUGACCACAAAGAAGGUUGCUCAUUAUUUCUCUGACCAUUCCAUCACAGUCGUCAGCGACGCUCCAUUAUCAGAGAUUUUGCACAACAGAGAUGCAACUGGUCGAGUGGCCAAAUGGGCGAUUGAACUUCUUCCCCUUGAUAUCAAGUUUGAGGCAAAGAAAGCCAUUAAGUCCCAGGCGAUAGCAGAUUUCCUCGCCGAGUGGAUUGAACAACAGCAGCCGACUAAAGUUCACUCGGAGCAUUGGACCAUGUUUUUCGUUGGCUCUAAGAUGUUGAAUGGUUCCGGUGCUGGGGUUGUCCUGGUUUCCCCCAGAGGAGAUAAGCUCAGAUAUGUGCUCCAGAUUCACUUUGAUUCCUCCAACAAUGAGGCAGAAUAUGAGGCCCUCCUAUAUGGGUUGCGCAUGGCCAUUUCACUCGGCGUCCGUCGCCUAAUGGUCUAUGGCGACUCUGAUUUAGUGGUCAAUCAGGUGAUGAAAGAGUGGGACGUGAGAAGCCCAGCCAUGACUGGAUACUGCAGUGCAGUGAGGAAGCUGGAGAAGAAGUUCGAGGGGUUGGAGCUCCAUCAUAUACCCCGACUGAAAAAUCAAGCAGCUGAUGAUCUAGCAAAGAUAGGUUCCAAGAGAGAAGCCAUUCCGAGUGGUGUGUUCUUGGAGCAUAUACACACUCCGUCAGUCAAAGAAGAUCCUUUCACCGAAGAAACUCCGCAGCCCAAGAGCGCCACAGAUCCGACUGAAGUUGAAGUCCCAGCGGUGGUCGACUUGAUCAUGGAGGUUUUGGUGGUCAUUCCCGACUGGACGAUUCCGUAUGUCGCAUAUAUCUUGAGGAAAGAGCUUCCGGAGGAUGAGGAAGAGGCUCGACAGAUCGUCCGUCGAUCUAAGGCCUUUACCGUAAUCAAAGGACAAUUAUACAGAGAAAGCACGACUGGAGUCGGUCAGAAGUGCAUAACACCAGAAGAAGGUCGACUCAUCCUCAAUGAUAUUCACUCGGGGACCUGUGGUCAUCAUGCGUCCUCUCGGACCAUCGUGGCCAAAGCAUACCGAGCCGGAUUUUACUGGCCCAAGGCGAAUGAGAUGGCAAAAGAGAUAGUAGAUAAGUGCGAGGGAUGUCAGUUCUACUCGAAUAUGUCGCACAAGCCUGCGUCAGCUUUGAAGACCAUCCCACUCGUCUGGCCUUUUGCAGUUUGGGGGCUGGACAUGAUCGGUCCUUUGAGAACAGGACGAAGUGGCUUCACGCAUGUACUGGUGGCAGUCGACAAGUUCACCAAGUGGAUCGAGGCUAAACCAAUCAAGAGCCUUGACACCGGUACUGCUGUUAGCUUCAUCAGGGAACUAAUAUUCAGAUAUGGAGUCCCGCACAGCAUCACUACGGAUAAUGGGUCGAACUUUGACUCAGAGGAAUUCAGAGCUUUCUGCGACUCCCAGGGCACACGGGUCGACUACGCAUCAGUCGCCCAUCCGCAGUCGAAUGGGCAAGCAGAGCGAGCUAAUGGAUUGAUUCUCAAGGGACUGAAGCCUCGACUGAUGCGUGAUCUCAAACACGCAGCUGGAGCUUGGGUCGACGAACUUCCCUCAGUUCUUUGGGGACUGCGGACCACACCUAAUCGGUCGACCGGAAGAACUCCAUUCUUCUUGGUCUACGGAGCUAAAGCAGUCUUGCCGAGUGAUCUUCUCCACAAUGCUCCUCGAGUUGAAAUCUACAACGAAGCAGAAGCUGAACAAGCGCGGCAGGACGCAGUCGACCUUUUAGAGGAAGAAAGGGAGAUGGCUCUGAUCCGGUCGACCAUCUACCAACAAGAUCUGCACCGUUUCCACGCCAGAAAUGUGAGAGGUCGAGCCUUCCAGGAAGGAGAUUUGGUUCUCCGAGUGGAUCAGCACAAACCACACAAGCUUGCUCCUUCUUGGGAAGGCCCCUUCAUCGUCACCAACGUUCUCCACAACGGGGCGUACCGUCUUUACAACGUCGAGCAUAAUAUCGACGAGCCCCGAGCUUGGAACGCGGAGCUACUCCGCCCAUUUUACACUUAAGCUUUAUCACUCGGAUGAGUUGCAAUAAAGUACUUUUGUAGUUCAUGGACCUCAAAAUAAUAGUGUCAUAGUUCCUCCACAAUAUCUGUCACUUUUUAUUUUUAUUUUCCAAUAAAAUUCCCCUCAGUGGGUGACUUAGUUGCGAAUCCGUUUCGCCUAAGUUUGUAAAAAUCCUACCGAGUGGUGAGCCAGACUCCCACUCAGAGGCUUAGCUGCGAAUCCGUUUCGCCUAAGUUAUAAAAAUCCUACCGAGUGAAGAGCAACCCUCUCACUCGGGGGCUUAGCUGCAGUCCAAGCACUCGCCUAAGUUGUAAAAAUCCUACCGAGUGGUGAGCCAGGCUCCCACUCGGAGGCUUAGCUGCGAAUCCGUUUCGCCUAAGUUAUCAAAAUCCUACCGAGUGGUAAGCCAGCCUUCCACUCGGAGGCUUAGCUGCAGCCUUGUGCUCGCCUAAGUUAUCAAAAUCCUGCCGAGUGAAGAGCAAUCCUCUCACUCGGAGGCUUAGCUGCAGCCUCGUGCUCGCCUAAGUUAUCAAAAUCCUGCCGAGUGAAGAGCAAUCCUCUCACUCGGGGGCUUAGCUGCAGCCAUGUGCUCGUCUAAGUUAUCAAAAUCCUACCGAGUGGUAAGCCAGCCUUCCACUCGGAGGCUUAGCUGCAGCCUCGUGCUCGCCUAAGUUAUAAAAAUCCUACCGAGUGAAGAGCAACCCUCUCACUCGGGGGCUUAGCUGCAGUCCAAGCACUCGCCUAAGUUGUGAAAAUCCUACCGAGUGAAGAGCAACCCUCUCACUCGGGGGCUUAGCUGCAGCCCUGUGCUCGCCUAAGUUACAAAAAUCCUACCGAGUGAAGAGCAACCCUCUCACUCGGGGGCUUAGCUGCAGUCCAAGCGCUCGCCUAAGGCACCUUGCUUUGAACCUGCAAAAGACAUUCCGAGCCGAAGGCAAUCGUAUUCAAGCACCAAAUCCAAGUUUGAAUCGACAUCUAAAGGAACCGAAAGUUCUCAGGCGUCAAGCCUGUUAAGGUUUGUCGGUUACAAUUUCACUCAGCAUACCGAGGCAAAUUUAAAGCGUCGAGCCAGAAGAAGUUUUUUACCCCUCCUGUGGAGGGCUGGAAGGUGCAACAAAUUCAUCAAGGUCAAUCCCGUCGGUGAUCCGAGUGGCAGCUGCAAGGAAAGUUUCCAUAAAGGAUCUGAAGUCGUGCUUCUUGGUAUUGGCCACCCGAAGGGCCGCCAGCUUCUCUUCUCGCGCAUCUUUGCAGUGGACUCGGGCCAGACACAGAGCGACAUCUGCACCACACCGAGCCGAGGACUUCUUCCACUCCUGCACUCGACCAGGGAUCGUGUUCAAGCGGGCCAUCAGCGAUUCAAGGUCAUUCUGAAGUAUCUCCUCAGGCCAGAGCGUCGAGUCGAUGCGCGAUGUGGCGGCCUUCAGCCUUGCGAGAUAGUCCACGACAGCUGCAACACGAGACUCCAGUCGGAAAACAUCCAUGGCAACUUCGUCGUUCACCGGAGAAUUGACGGGGUCAAGGUUUGGCUCCAGUCGGCUGGUUUCUUCUUCAAAGUUUUGACAAAAUUCUGCAAGGGUGAUCACUAAGUCAAGGAGAUAGUCGAAUGGAAAAAGCCACAAUUGGAAAUAUUUGCCAAACAUGGAGGUCUACCUUCAAGCAUAAGGAACAACUUCUUGGCAAGGCCACUCAGGAAGGCCUCCAGUUCAGUUUUCUUCUCAGUCAAUUUGCUGACUUGGUCGGUCAGGGCAGCUUUGUCAGUUUUCAGUCGACUGACCUCCUUGUUGGCAAUCCCAAGAGCAGCUUUCAGAUUGGUAUUGUCUUGUUCAAGCUUGGUGACUGAAGCUAACUUCUCGUCAGCAAGCUUGAUCUUCUCAGCUAGCUCAAGGUCUUUCUUCUGCUGGGCCUCCCUUACCUUACCUGCAAGUUACAGCAAGAUCAGAUGCUGAAACAAGCAAGGGGAAAAGCAGUCGUCAGGGUCUCACCAAACAUACCUUCGGUCUCCUCCUUUGCCUUUGUCAGCUUCUCCUGAACCAGCUUCAAGCUCAGCUCGACUUGAGUAUGUUUUUGUUCCAGCUCUGAGUAGCGAGCCACAAGAUCACAUGAGUUCUGUGAAGAACCAAUCGACUAAAUGUCAAAUAUAAUUCACUUCCGAGUGAAAAAGGGAUAAACACACGUUUCUAAGACUACAGCCAAAUACAAGCAUUCGACCGUAGUCUCGGGGACUACACCCAGUGGGUGCACUCAGCGUGCCCCCACUAAUCCUGUUGAAGACAAAGUCGACCAGUCGACCUCAAAAAAAAAGAGAGAGAUGCAUUCUCUAAGACUGUGAUCAACUGCAAGCAGUCGACCACAGUCUCGGGGACUACACCCAGUGGGUGCACUCAGCGUGCCCCCACCGGUUUGUGAAGUCCAGUCGACCAGUCGACUGACAGAAAGAUUGACAUCAUAAAGCCUAAGGCCGACUGCCAGCAGUCGACCUUAGCCUUGGGGACUACACCCAGCGGGUGCACUCAGCGUGCCCCCGCUAACACGGAGUUUAUUCGACACACCCAGUGGGUGACUAAUAUAAAUUCCGGAAAAGAAAAGUUUUUGGUAGCAUAUCCAACAGAACAAACAGCGGUCGACUGACCUGGACAUUGCUUUGGAGGGCAGAACUGGCGUCAUAAGCUGCCUGGCUCGCGUCCCGGAUGGUCUUCAGCUGCUCCAUCAUGAGUCCCGCCUGGCGUAUUGCCUCCUUCGCUGCGCCAGCUUGGUCCUCUGGGACGUGGUGCGUCGUAAAGAGGGAGGGCUGCUGAGCACUCGUCAGUGGAUUUGCGAAGGACACCGUGUGUCGAGUGGUGUUCCCUUCCUCCACAGUCAGAAUCUCAGGCGCCGUCACAUCCUGAGGUACCUUACUGGCGGACGCUUUCCGACUCCUCCUGCGUGUCAGUGGUUCUUCAUCCUCGUCGUCGUCAGGGAGAUUGAUAAUAGUGUUGGGUGGAGCUGCGGAGAAGGAUCAGGAUCAAAGAUCGCGAGUCAGUCGACUAAGAACGGUGUUAAGAACACAGUACCUGGAUUCGAAGUUGCUGCAUCCUCCAUCUCGUGGUCAUCAGCCCGGGCCGAGGUCUCAGAAGUAGCAGCACUGCAACUCCAAAGGAUCAGUCGACUAACUUCAGCGUCGACCAGAGAUAAAGUUCACACAGAAUAAGAAAAUAUGAGCAGCACGGUUACCCUGAUAUGGUAGGGAUGGACACCUUCAUCUUCGGCAAGAGCUUGAUCGGCUUCGACGGGGCCGCCCUGGGCUGCUUCGGCGCCUUUUCAGUCGGCACCGGAGAGGUGGUCCGAGGGCGCUUGGUCGACUGAGUGGCGGUCGCAACCCCCUUACCACGUUCGGUCGAAGGGUCGUGGACAAGCUUCGACCGCCUUUCUGAGCGCGGUGGUACGACCUCCUCCUCCUCUUCUUCCUCGUCCUCGACGUCGUCUUCAUCGCCGUCAUCAUCAUCAUCGUCGUCAUCAUCCUCUGCAACAUCCGAGUCCCAUUCCUCCUCUUCCUGGCUCUCGCCCCCGCUCGCCUCGCCUUCCUCAGUCGAAGCUUGUGCCCCAUUGGGCAUCGAGUACAGCUCGGUGAGGGCCUAGCAGAUGCCCAAACAAGGAUCAGUCGACCAGUCGGCAGGGUUAACAGAAAUGAAUACGACAAGGGCGCAGUGGAGAGCAGAGCAAGUGUACCUUGUUUGGGUCGCUGUUGUGGUCGAGUGGAGGAAUCCUUCUGGCUCCGUGCGGGUUGUCCUUGUUUCCGGUAAAGGCUACCAUCCAUCUUUCCAGAGUGACGUCGUCGACUGCUUCUGGAUGGACUCUAGUCUCGUCUUCGGUCCCACAGUACAACCACAUGCAGUGGCUCCGGAAUUGAAGGGGUUGGAUGCGACGCCUGAGGAAGACCUCCAGAAGAUCCAUGCCCGUCACCCCCUCCCGAACCAACUGCACCACGCGCUCCAUCAACAUCUUCACGUCGGCUUUCUCCUCCGGAAUCAGCUUCAGAGGGGAGGGCUUGUUCACUCGGUCCAUGGUAAACGAAGGGAGUCCACUCGACUGCCCUGGUGUCGACUGGACCUGGCAGUAGAACCAAGUCGACUGCCAGCCUCUGAUGGACUCGGGGAAGGUCAUGGGCGGGAAGGUGCUCUUAUUCCUCACCUGGAUCCCCAGGCCCCCACACAUUUGGACGACUCGGGUUCUCUCAUCACCUGGGCUCGCCUUCUUCACGGUCUGAGAGCGACACGUGAAUAUAUGUUUGAACAAACCCCAGUGCGGUCGACAGCCCAAGAAACCCUCACACAUGGACACGAAUGCAGCAAGAUAGGCAAUGGAGUUUGGGGUAAAGUGGUGAAGCUGCGCUCCAAAGAAAUUCAAGAAGCCACAGAAGAAAAUACUUGGCGGCAAGGAAAACCCACGAUCAACAUGAGUGGCCAAAAGCACACACUCACCCUCUUCUGGCUGUGGCUGCCACUCCUUCCCCGGCAACCUCGCAGCUCCGUGAGGGAUCAAGCCCUCGUUGGCCAUGUCGAGGAGGUCCUUCUCUGUGAUGGUCGACUGGAUCCAGUCUCCUUGGACCCAGCCCUUCGGCAGGCGGGAUCUGGACGAGGACCCUCCGCGGCUGGUGGAUCUCCCCUUCGCCUUCUCCGACGCCGACGCCUUCUUGGCGCGCUCCAGCGCCGCCGUCUUCUCCUUGGCCAUGGUCGCCGGAGAGAUGCGCGAAGGGAAGUGGUGCGGGGGCGAGAGCGAGCACGCUGAGCUGGGAAGAAGGAAGCAGAGAGAGAGGGAGAAUGCUGGGGCGCAGCACAGAAAUCCUCGCCGGGCGCAUUUAUAAGGUCCCUUCCGAGUGGCUGACAUGUGGGCCCGGUCGAUCUAAUCAUAUCUGAGAGCAGUUAUGCAGGCUGGAUACGUGGCGAAAAAGGCGGCGCGGAGAUCGAGGCGUCUAUGCCCCGUCCCAUCCGAACGCCGCGGUCCGCCCCGCUUCGCGCGCGCCCCCAAAUUUCGCAUCCCGCGGAAUCCGCGAGCAACAAAUCAGUCUGUCAGACGCGGUGUUUCCGGCGAUCCGUCGCUCGGAGAUCGUCGAAGCCCGAAAGAUCACUCGACGCAAAAACAGAAUGGAUCGAGUCGACUGAAGGCAAAUUGCUCCCUGCCAACGAAGAGAUUCUUUGGUCCAGAACAGCGCACAACUAGAGCGCAAAGGUCAAUCGGAAACGACAUCAACUCCUUCUUCACUCGAAGCCUCAAUCCAUUCGGGGGCUAAUGAUGGGGUUAUGUACCUAGGGUAGGGUCAUGGACCUGUUCCAAGUAACUUACCCCAAGACAUCCUUAGAGGAGGUCGCCUUCCAGUCGACCAAUGAGGACUCACUCGACUGGCCUGAAGGACUCGACCACGAAGACUCACUCGACCACCAGGAGGUCAAGAGGCACUCUGCACUGCAACGGCCUGUAAUCAAGUAGACUUUAUGAUAGUAAAGGCACUUUAUGUGGGGCGUUACCAGUAACGCCCCAGACUUAACUCACCUUAAACCCUCUCCUGCGUGGGCUGGCUAGGGUCCUGGCGCACUCUAUAUAAGCCACCCUCCUCCACAGGCAGAGGGGUUCGGCACCUUGUAAUUCAUGCAUUCAUAAUCCACUCGAUCGCCUCCGGGCUCCGAGACGUAGGGCUGUUACUUCUUCCGAGAAGGGCCUGAACUCGUACAUCCUUUGUGCUUACAACCUCUCCAUAGCUAGGACCUUGCCUCUCCAUACCUACCCCCCACUCUACUGUCAGGCUUAGAACCACGACACUAUUUGCUUGGACAUGAUCAUACACACCCUGUUAGUGGCAUUACUCUCAUUUGUGAUGAUCACAGUUACUUUCCUCGUGCUAGUUCUAUGCUUAAUGAAACAUAUCAUUCCCAUGUUAGUCUUGAGCUUAAUGAUAAAUAUCAUCCUCAUGUUAGCAUUGAGCUUACUGAUUUGUACCGUCCUAAACAUGUGCUUUAUAGCUAUGCUUAUGUAAUUGGGUACUCUAUAGAUGAUUUAGAGGGCAUUACCCUUGUCACUUGUAUUGUUUCCUUGGUUGAGUGCUCUUUCAGGUUGUUGCUUGUGCACGAUCCACUACAUGCUGACCAAGUUCGAGAUGACAUUCCCUGGGACCCCGGUGGACCCAUGGCAUGGGGAUGAGGAGAAGCAAGGAGCACACAUGAAGAGAGAAGCUGGAGCAGGCAUGAGGAUAGAGAAGCAAAAAGAGAAGAGCUGCAGCUUAGAGAGUGAUCAAGCGAGUGCUACUUCAUAGUGCCCGGUUAGCUGUUUCAUGACCCAUUCUGAGUAUAUCAUCCAUUGAUGCUUGCUGAAUUAAAUUGCUAUUUGGGUUGCUUGUGACAUUUCUUAAAUGUUGUCCCACUGAAUUUCACCUUUGACAUAUGGUGCUUGAUGAGAAUAUGCGAACUAAUUGUUGAAUGCCUUGUAACUAGUGAUCUACACCCUGUUUGCUCUGCUGAAAGUAGUGAAAGCUAUUAGUUCUGAGUGCUCAAAUCCCUAGUACACUAGAAAACUAAAUCAUUUUCUGCAUUUACUAUGAUACACCUACAUCACCAUGUUUAGAUGCUGAAUUUGUGCCAAGUGUGUUCCCAUUGAGAGCAAUCACCUAACCACUAUGGAAUAGCAUGCUAUGUUCCCUGGAUCGGUAGCAUGUGAACCAGACAUGGAGAAGUGAUGAUUCCUGUUUUUGUGCUUAUGCAUUAUUCAUUUAAGAUAAGUAAUAAUGAAUAAAUUAGUCUGACUACCUACAGUAGCAUGUCAUGUUCUUGGGAUCGAUGGCAUGUGAAAUCGGGUUAGCUUGGGCAGUAAAUAUUAUAAAAAUGUAAUUGUCGAACCAGAUGUAUACCAUGUUCUCGGGAUCGGUGGUAUGUUCCUUUGGGGUAUAUAAUUGGUCGAGCCGGGUGUAUACCAUGUUCUCGGGAUCGGUGAUAUGUUCCUUUGGUGAGAUCAAUAAAAUAUUAUCAUUACUCCUUCAAAUUCAAUAAGUGGUUCAACCACAAAGUUAUAUUUCUGCAAAUAAGAGAUUUAAUUCCAGUUCUUUUUGUUCUCGGGAUCAUGCUCUCUUUAGGAAUCAUUUGGCGCAAUCAUCAUUUAAACUUGUUGGUCCUCUUUUAUCAUUGUAAAAGUUUAAAAUGGUCAUGCUUACCAGUAUCCUACUGCUUUGUAGCACUCUUAACCAUCAAUUUUCACUAGCUAAGUCCAAAAGCAUGCAUUGUUUAGAGAUCUACUUCACUUGGACAUUCUUUACUCAGUUCACUGUUCACAUUCUUGCUCUUGUCAUAUGCCUUUGCUUGAGGACAAGCAAAGAUUUAAGUGUGGGGGAACUUGAUAAGUAUAUUUCACAUAUAUAAUUUUGGUACUCAAAUAUAGCUUCUAUCGUGACAUAUUCGUCCAUUCUUGCCAUGAUUGCUUGAAUAUUGCUUGAUAAUCAUCAAAAAGGAUCAUUUACUAGUCUUUGGUCUAUCUUGCAGAAAUGUGCGCAAAGGCACUAAUAAUCGUCAAGAUUGCGUCUAUGUGGCUAUCGAGAAGAGUGAAGAAUAGAAGAGAAGGAAGAAGAGACUUGUGUGAGAUGAAGAGAAGUAACCAGGGGGCUAGGUAAAGAAGUGGGAGGACCUUCUUGUGAAGAAAGAAGAGAAGAAAGAGGGCCAAAUCACAAAGUGCAGAUGAGAGGAGGGGAACAAAAUCCCUAGGCGCUGGAGGGAUCCGAUCGGGCCUGGCCAUAUCUCCAUCUCUCUUCUCCCCCACCACUUCUUCCACCUCAGGCCGCUGCCACGGCCAGGCCGGCGUGGUGGUGCGCCUCUGCAGCCCAGCCACCACCAUCUCCAUCCAUCUCCGCUGCGCCACCAUCCACAUCAGCGCCGCUGCGCCAUCCAUCACCAACACCAACACCUAGUGCCACCCAGCACCUCCACACGCUCCACACCGCCGCCAUCCAUCACCACCGCACCACUGAACACCUCCGCGCGAGAGUUUCCCUGCUGCCGUCCUUCUUCCCUUGCCUCUGCAGCUGCUCUUGCUUGCGCCCCUGUGCUGCUGCCUUUCUUCUCCCCUUGCUACUGCUCCCCUUUUCUAGCACCUCAACCUGCUGCUGCUUCUCCUUCGCCUGCUACUAGUCCCUUUCCCCACGCCUCUGCUACUCCUCCUCUUAAAACUGCUGCUGCUCAUCUUUCCCACGUUCCUGCUCUGAACUCUGCUUCUCACCUCCGUUGCUGCUGUUUCUCUUCUGAACCUCUGCUACUGUUCAGCUCUGAACCUCUGCAUCUGUGUUGAAUGUGCUUUCAGUGUUCUUGAGAUGUGUAAAACUGUUCAAUAUUCAGCUUACAAUUUGUGAAACUUUUGUGAUUCAGUGGUGUCUCUAUGUUAUACAUAUAGCUUGUGUACUGCUUGCUGCAGUAAAUUUCAGUUUGUAAGUUCCUGUGAUAGCUCCAGUACAUGUGACUUUUAUGUUGUCUCAAGUUCCUGUUAUAUAUAUACAUAUGUGUGUGUCUGUGAUGUGAUACAUUUAUGUUCUGUCCUACAACCUUAUUGUGUUAGCAUUUUAUUUCUCAUGUAAAACGAAAAUACCAAAAAUAUUAUUGAAGAUAAUCUGAACCUCCUUUGCCC